ACGCUAGUUCGUUGUCUUAUUUUGUUGCUCCAACAUAGGUAAUCUUCCUUCCCAUUUAGUUUUGAUUCUAUCUUCUUUUUCAUCUCAUCGUUCUAUAGUCACUGUAGUCAUAAUCGUUGUAAUGCUGGGAUUGUUUAUUGUAGAUAGCUCCGAUAGCCAUAGGGUUUAUUUGAGAUAAUCUUUGCUAUGUUGUUUGCAAAGCCAAUAUUUAUACUACAACUUUUGCUUUAUUGUGGAUUUGUGUAGUCUUUCGGUUUGAUUGCCUGGAGCUCAUCUCAUAGUGUAGAAUGGCUCUGUUUUUUAGCAUGUAUUGCAAAAUUUCUAUUUUUUAAUUGUUAGUUCACUGUCUUGAGUUCAAUGUUUUCAUCUACUAAUUUAUGUUUUAGUUUGCUUUUGAAAUCGCUAUGAUGCUAAUUUUAUUCAUCCCCGACAUGUCAUUUUUUUUUAAAACUUGAAUAUUGUUGUCUGGUCUUCCCUCUCUUCAGUUGAAUAUCCCUAUUUUUAGUCUCAAUAUGUCGUCUUAGUGUAAUGUUGUUUUGGUUGGAUUUCGGUUUCCUUUUUAUUCAUAAUUUUAUUUCUAAUUCAAAGUUUACUGAUAGUUUAAUCUACUGUAUUAGUUUGAUUAGUAAUAUAUUGAAUUCAUGUACAGAAUGUCAUCCAAGAAUGUUCCACAGUUUAUGUAUUUUCCUUAGAAUUUUCUUUUUGAGUAAAAGAUCCGUAUAAGGGAUUAACUUUUACUCCACUUGCGUGUAUGUGUGUUGUCUAUAGAUUAAUACUAUUUUGCUCAAGCAUUUAUUAGGAGCUUUUCAUUCCUCUAUUGGUUGGGUUUGUUUAUAUGAUUAGGAAAAAGUAGCAGGGGGGCUCAUAAUGAUUUUUAGACCCAUAUUAUCGAUGAAUUUAUUUGAUUGCGUCUAUAUGUAAAGUCAUUCUUUAUUUGUUUUGUAUCAAGUUGGUGUAGUUUAAGAACUUAUUUUUAUCCUCUUAAUUGGGUGCUUACUGAAGUAAUUAGCUCAUGACAAAGUGUUAUUUAGCUGCACUAUUCUCGUCUUCCUCAAACUUGAAUUUUAGGGAAAUGGAUUAGUAAUAUAGCUAUGAAUUCACUCCUUCAUGCUUUGAUUAAAAGUAUUAUUUUGUUGGACUUUUGUUCUCACUGUUUCGUGCAUUAGUGCCUAUGUUUAUUACUCUAGGAAAAUAAAGAUGCCAUCUUAGGAAUUAAAAGUUGUUCUUUAGUAAUAAAUUCUCAAUUUACUCGUGUUCUUAACUGUCUGUGUCGAACAUAUCAUUAUUGUUUAUUUUCCUUCAAAAGAUCUUUCCUUGAACCCAUUGUUGAAAUUGGUUCCAUUUAAAAAUUUCUGCUUGGGUAGUCUUAAGUAUCAAUACUCAUUUAACUAUAGUAGUAGAAUGUCUUUCUAUUUGCGUUCUUUAAUAGCAUGUUUUAAUCUCUUCCUUCUCUUUCUCCUUGAUUUUUUUAUUUAAAUCAAUAGCAUGGUCCUUACCCUCGCCCUUUUUGAUAUUCAAACAAGCAUGCCUGGCAUAAUUUUAGUCAAUCUUUUAUUAUUUUUAUUUAUUUGCUAAAUUCAACAGAUUGAUUGUAUUGUUAUCAUAUGUUGUGUUUCCUUUGAUUAGUUACCUUUAUCUUGUUUAUUUUUGUAUGACUGUUUGUGUAUUGGUUCACGAUAGUUAGAUUCUAAUCUUUUCCUUUUGUUUGACAUGUAAAACGAUGGGUCCAAAAUAGACUCUUUCCAUUUGCAUUUCUAUGAUGGGUUAACGCGGCCCUUCUCCUUUCCGAGUCAAUUCCUAGAAAAAUCCUAAAACAAAUAACAUGGCGUGUGGAUACGAAAAGUCGGCAGAAGGAAAAAAUGGGUUAAAGUCCCAUAUUUGAAGCAGCAAAGAGACGCGAAAGUCUUGUAUUCAUUUAUUCAUUCAUUAUCGUCUUUUAUUAUUAUCUAUUCAUUUUUUUUAUUUGGGCAAAGGUACAAAUAUACCCUCAAACUUUGAUAAAUGGUGCAAAUAUAACCUCCGUCAUACUUUAGGUACAAAUAUACCCUUACCGCUAAUGAAAAGGUGCAAAAAUACUCUUAUGACUAACUGCGGGACACGUGUCACGAUCGUGUUCCUCCAUUAGUGAUAAGGGUAUAUUUGUACCAUUUAUCAAAGUUCGAGGGUAUAUUUGUACCUUUUCCAUUUUUAUAAUUUACUUUCUCCGUUCCAUAUUAGUUGAUCAUUUUGUUAAAAAUAAUUAUUUUAUAUUAAUUGUCCAUUAUACUAAAUAAAAAAAACAUUGAUUAGAUUUAAAUUAUAUUAUCCUUGUAGUUAAUUCAUUCUGAAAGUCUUCACAUUUGUUUAUAAAGUUUUCAAGAAAUUUUUUAUGGUGUGAAUUUGUAAAAGGAAAACUUACCAAAAUAUACUAUAUUUAAAAUUUUUUACCAUUUAUAGCUGUAUAAUUUUAAUAUAUGCAUAAUCUUACUAUCUAAUAAGAGGAAAAGGCCACGGAAGCAGGCAACUCUCCACUAAUAAAUAUAUAAAUAUAUAUAUUUUUACAAAGAUUAAUUAAUUCGAUAAAUUAAUAAUAGUAAUAACUAACUAUUCUUUGAUGACAAUAUUUUCACUUCAAACAUGAGUCUAUUUUUAUAAAAUGGGACGAAUAGAGUACGCUUAUAAGGGCAUGAAAAAAAUAAAUAUGAUAAAUUAAUGGAUCCAAUUGAGUAAUCUUUGUGUGGUUUAAUUAUAUUAAUAGAUCGAAUUGAGUAAUCUUUGUGUGGUUUAAUCUAUAAGGAUAUUAAAUGAUAAAUAAACCACACAAAGAUUACUCAAUUCGAUCCUUUAAUUUAUCAUGUUUAUUUUUUUCAUGCCCUUACAAGAGUACUUUAUUCAUCCCAUUUUACAAAAACAGACUCAUGUUUGAAGUGAAAAUAUUGUCAUGAAAGAAUAGUUAGUUAUUACUAUUAUUAAUUUAUCAAAUUAAUUAAUCUUGGUAAAAUUAUAUAUAUAUAUAGGUUAUUAAUUUUUUAAUACAUAAAUGACUUAUAAUAAUUAAUUAGAGAUGAUAUAGUAAAAUCAUGGAGCAAGUAGCUGAUGAAGCAGGCAGGAGUAGCAGGCUUGCUGACGGAGAGUUGCCUGCUUCUAUGGUCUUUCACUCUUAUUAGAUAGACCACAUGUUUGUUAAAAUGUCGAUAAGAGAGGAACUCCUUAUAAGCUUGUAAUGGUUAAUGUGAACUUUCUUGGGGCAUUGUUUGAUAAUUCUUGGAGCAUAGUUUUGAGUCCAAAUGGUUUUAAAUAUAGGACAACUAGUGAUUUUUGGUUGAGAUUGUUGAUGAAUGUUUCAUCCAUGAUUUGAUCGAUAAAUGUGCUUAUCAUAGCCUUCACGGGUGAAGUCUGAGUAAUCCGAGAGACAUGAAUGCUUACCUUGCCCUUUGAUAGAUCAGGUGACUCCAUUCUUAAAGGUAUAGGGACAUUUGUGUUUCUAUUAGGGCCAUGAAUGUUAUAUGAGCCAAAUGGGCGAUAUGUGAAGGAGUGACAAUAUCAAGUUUAAUGAGUUGAGUGUUGUGACAAAUGAGUUCCAUGAGUCGCAAUGAUGAAGUUACCUUGCAUCUACCUUUAUUUUUCUUCAGUUUUAUUUUCUUUCUUCAUAUAUUAAAAUCACAAAAAUAUUUUUUAUUAUUUCUCUUUUGCUUUGGUUUUGGUAUUUUUCUUUUUCAUAGGUAUAUCUCCAAGGAAUAUUUGCUAUUGGAUGCUAAAAAGGCUCAUACUCGGAUAAAGGCAGGGUGGAAGCUACCACCAAAAAGGGAAAAGCAUCAACCUCUAAAGUAGUCUAAAAAGGCCUAGAGUUGUAACUUCCUAGCUCCUGAGAUGAUAAUGAAAUGCCUUUGGUAGUGAAACCGACUAGAGAAGCCCAGCCUAACGAGGCCCCUAGUAAGGCAACAUGACCAUCUAUUGACAUGGACCCGAGCGCCUAGUGUGCCAUAGGGAGUCUUUACCCUCUUCUACUCUCAUUAUAUAUUUUCAUUGGAGAUAAUGCAAUGAAUUUUAAUUGGGGGGGGGGGGGGGGGGGGGGGUGUACAUUGCUCUACAUUUGACGGUCUAUACUUGUUGGUUUCAUUUGGUGGCAUUGGUUGGAUAGAUUUUGGGUACAUUGCUCUACAUUUGAUGGUCUAUACUUGUUAAUUUUAUUUGGUGGCAUUGGUUGGAUAGAUUUUGGGUUGGCCUUUGAUGGGAAUAUGGAUAAAUAUAUCAAGUAUCGCCCUUGUCGGGCAUGUUUCAUGCACUCAUUAUGAAUGUUAUACCCGAUUGUGAUUGUAUUGGUAUUGAUGGUGUAUUUUGGGUGAUGCUAUGUGCAUUCUUCUUGUUACAUUUUGUAUAUAUGUGUCCAAUAAACUCCAAGGGUUUUCUUCGAAACUCGGUUCUUUCCUAAGGAGCAAAUUUUAUUUUCUCUUUCUUUUGAUCUUUUGUUUUUAUUUUAGUUUACUUUCUUUGUCGAAUAGAGUGAUAAUUCACCCAUGAUGGAUGACAAGGCGACCUCCUUAGGUGAAGUAUCUAGUCGUUUCGGUUAACUAGGAAGAAGCAAAAAUUUGAAAAUACUUUCAAAAUGUCAUUGGCAAGGAAUGAAAUGCUUUUGAGAAAAAUCAAAAAUAUAGUUUUCUUUAAAAAAAAAAAGAUCAAGGAUAUUUUGAGCUUUCUUUUGAGUGACACCAUUAAACUCAAUUUUCGGCGCUCUGUUUACAAGGAUGAGUCUUUGACUCUUGAGUAACUUAUGAAGCUUAAAUUACCCAAAUUGGUUGGGAGACUAACUUUUUUCUCUGUGGGUAUGAUGCCAUAUGUGGUGAGAUUUUUUGAAUAAUUCUUGUACAUAUUUGUAGUCUAGCACUUUCCCCCAGUGUAUUCAAAGCAAAAUUCUAGGCAAGCUUGGUUUGGAGGAUGACCUGAGGCCAUUGUUUAUGACCCGUCACAUAGCCAAAUUCCCACCUUAACAUUAUCCCUAGUUAACCCAUUAGAGCCUUUUUGCCCAUAUUUCUUGCUUAUUGUAAUGAUAACCAUGCUAAAACACCUAAAACCUUUUGAAAAAUCUCUUUUUUAGCACUUAACCUCUUUUGAUGCAUCGCAUGAUUCUAAAUAAUGGAUUAUAGGCAAAAGCCUAAGUUUGGGAGGGUGUAUUUGGGAGAACAUGAUCAAAGAAAAGACAAUAAAGGUAUAUGUAAGGUUGUCAACUCAUAUGCUUAAAGGACAAGAGAUGUGCUUGAUGAUAGUUGAAUAGCCUAGCCCAUAGAACUAAGAAAUAGAUGAAUGACGAGCUAAGAAGGGCUUAUAAGUAGAACAUCUCUUGAAAAAGUCAAAGAAGUGAAGAAAGAAAAUGGCGGCUUGAAUUGUUUGGUAAUGUUAAAACAAAAAGUUAGGAAAAUAUGGAAAAUAAUUUGAAGAAGAAUAAGGUAGGUAGUGUGAAAAUUUUGGGAGUAGAAAGGGGUAGGCGAUUGCAUUGAAGGAGGUCUUUGAGUCACUUGAUCCAUAGAUUUCUUCCCGCACCUUAAACCUUCAUCUUGACUCGCAAGACCUUGGUGAUUCCAAACUAAGUAAGUCUACAUUAGUGAUGAAAAACACAAAGGGCAAGCCUAUGGUUCUAUUCGAUGCACUUGAUUUCUUUGUGAGAGUGAGUGUGACUUCUUUCUUUAUUUGAGCUCUUUUAUGAAUUGAAAUGUCUUUUGUGUAUAGAGCUAACUCUUGCAUGUGAGCGGCAUCAGUACUUUUGGGUAGAGGGUGAAGUUUUACUAUCGAUUUGGGUAAAUAAGUGAAGUAAGUUGCAUUAUGAAGGUUUAGACAAUCUUUGAAGAUUUUGUAUCUUAUCUUAAGAUGAUUUGUGAUUUGGAAAGUUCAUUUGAUACAAACAUGCAUCCUUGCUUCAUAAAUAUGUGCUUAUUGAAAAAUUUUUGUUUACUUGUUGUCAUGACAUGUUUGGAAAGUGUUUGUAGAGCUUUGUUAGCUUAUUCCUUUACUAUAGCUUUCAUUUGGGUGAAUUUGAGUUAAACACCCUAUCUCAUUGAAUUAGUCUUUGUUGCUUGAGGACAAGCAAUAGUUUAAGUUUGAGUGGUUGAUAAGUUGUUAAUUUGACGGUUUGCUAGCACCUUUUAAGCCUAAAUUAUUAUGUUUUUUCCAUUGAUUUGAUGGUAAUGUCUUACUUAAUGCUCAUUUGUGUAGGUAAAAGUUAAAAAGGAAAGAUGAGCAAGUCAUUCAAGUCAACAAGAGGCCAAAUGUGAAGGAAAAGAGCCAUCCACUUUGCAUCUGCUUUUGAGCUACUUUUCAUCCGCUUUGAAACCUCUCAAGUAGAUUAAGAGUAAGGUGGCAUUUUUGUAAUUUUCAACAAAUGUAGAGUUGGAGCUUAAAGAAGGGUUUUAGCUCAUUUUUCAAGACCUAUCUUCUAUCUUAAAUAUUAUCCAUUCUUAGUUUUAGGGUUUAGUAAUUUCUUGGAGCUUGGAGCUUGAAUUUACACUAAUUUAAGGUAAGAUUUAAUUACAGGAACUCCAAAGUAUAGAUUUGGCUUUGUCUACUGAAGAUUCAUUUGAGUCUAAAGUGUGGUUUGUCCUGUCUUUAUUUUUCUUAUAAAUAACUUUGAUGGAAAUCUUGGUAUAUCUGUUUUCAUUAUCCUUAUGAUGUGCUAGAUCUAUCUCUUGGGGUUAUGCUUGAUUAGGGUGCAAAUGUGUGUGGGUUGUAAUGUAUUUGUGUAGAUUCUAGUUUGUUAAUGAUGGGUUCUACUAUUGCUUGAUUAUAUUGGUUGGGAUUUGUGGGUGAAAGCCCCAAAUACCCAAAUGAGUUUGAUGGGUAAAAAUCUCAGGCUCUUGAAAGCUCAAACCAUCCUUGAAAGAGGGAUUUGGGUGAACUUUUGGAACCCACAUCAUCCUUGAAAGAGGGAUGUGGGAACCUAGGUAAUAGUAGACAAUUUAUAGGCAUAGUUUGCUAAUUUUCACUAUCUUAGACAUAAGGGUGAUUAUGAGGUUGACUAUACCUUGGGUAUCAUCGUAGAAAUAGGGAUGCCCAAUUGAGGUUUUGGGUGAAAUUGUUGGCAACACCAAUGAGGUAUUCGAAAGAAUUCAUGGGUGACAUUUUUGAUAUUUUGUUGAAAGGAUAACAUCGAAAACCUCUAAUCUAGCUUACCCACUCAUGCACUAACUUGAAUUGGAUGUUACUUUCAUAUAUCUACACAUUCUAACUUGCUUUUAGGAAAGCAUAACCCCAAGAUCUAUGCCUAAUUGAUUAAGCUCUAAUUAUUCUUAGUCUCAAAUUAGUUGCUUAGAAGACCAAGAAUUGCUUUCGCAUUCGAAAACAUUGAAAACCCCCAAACCAUUUUGUACCAUAGUUUUAAACUUAGCAAGCAACUAUCAUUUCAAACAUACUCAAUAGCCACUCAUAUUGUUCCUCGUGGAUACAAACCCCGACUCUUAGUUGUGUAAAUAUAUUGACGAUGAUCGUCUUACACUUAAAUUAAUACGUAAGUUGAGUGUUAUCAGUAAACAACAAAUUAACAAUGAGUUGGGCAAAAUUUUACAAAAAUCAACCAAGUGAACUUUUUUUAGAAUUCUUUUUGUCAAUUUCUAAUUCGAAAUGUAUAGUUGAUUUAUAGCUCUUGUUGAUUUACAUGUCCCUGACAAAAAUAAUCAACGAAUUUGGUUAUGAAAAUAUAGUUUUGUUUCUUUUCUCCUUCAGUAGGUUGCGUCGCCUAAGAAGUUUGACAAACUGGUAGAGAGCAAAAGCUCUUGAGAUACAUGAUAAGCUUCGGUUGACCCUAAUCCUUACACGACAAGCUAAAAUAAAAUAAAGAAGUAGAAGAUAAUAUGUUCCCAAUAGUUCAAAUUGAUAGACCACAUGAAGCACCAAAAGAUUGAAUUUUGAAACAGUAAAUCUCAUAUCACUAAUCUUAAAGAAUCAGAAUGAAAAUCACUUUUAACAUCAACAAUGCAUAUGUUAGGAAAAUCACAAACAAUGUAAUACUUAAAUUACAAACUUUUAGAUGUAUCUAACCUUUUUGGGUAACAAAAGAUGGCUCUCGUAUCAAUAAAGUUGUUUAUCUAUGUGAUCAAACAUCUAGCUGAGUGUGCAAUGCUUCAUUAAUGGGUAUAGCCAGCAGACAUGCAUGUACUUAUUCAAGUUUUUUAUUACGUCACCAUGAUAAAAUAGUUGUCGUUUAUCCGGCGACAAUUGUAUAUAUCGCUCAUGUUGCCUCAACUUGAUUUUAGAAGUUCUCUUCAUUGAGUAGAUGUGCUUCUUUUUUGGGGAAGAACAAGUAGGCAUCGAAGGUUUUUUAUCCUCCAGCAUCUGUGUUAUGAACAGUGUAUACAUUUUCAACCACACAUCUUUUAACAUUGACAUAAGAAGUCAUAACUCUGAAAUUUAACGUACUUCUGCUCAUGACAUGAACAUACAAAAGUAAAGAUUUUUCGUGCAACGUUGUGAUAGAAGUAGAGCUCUUUUGUCAGGUGCCAAUUGUGUAAAUCAUUCAUGUCACCUAAACCUGACUUUAGAAGCUUUCUUAUUGUGUAGUGACACUUCUAUUUUUAGAGUAGCAACCUAGCACUGCAGAUUUUUACUGGUAGACAUUUAUAUUGCGAACAAGCAUAAGUCAAAAUUUUCACUUCCAAGCAUACAACAUUUGUACAUAUGUUCAAAUUCCUCUAUCAUUUCUUUCAGCUAAGGUCAAAAACUUAACUAUAAAAUAAGAAGAAGUUAAGUUGGCAUAGGGAAAAUGAAAAUAAUUUUGGAAAAAACAGUAGCAUAUAUUUUGGAGUGUUACCAAGUUUCGAGCAUAUGAAGAGUCGACAAAAGUAGAUCGAUAAAAGGAGUCCUCGAACCUUGUUAUUCCUAACAAACUAAAGUACUUCCGUCAUUUUUGUCUUACUUUUUUCUUAGUAGACUCUACAUAUCUUUAGUUUAAACUAUAAGAUUUAAAAUUUUUAUAGGAAAAGACAAUGAACUAAAGCUGAAGGAAAGUAGGAAACUGAUUAAUGGGAAGCUUGCUUCUUUUAAGACUACAAGAUUUAAAAAUUUUAUAGUAAAAGACAAUGAACUACAUCUGAAGGAAACUGGUUAAUGGAAAGCUUGCUUCUUUGAGGAAUUUUCUCAUACAUUUAGACAUCAAAUCAAACACUAAACUUUAUGUGGAGUAAAUUGAUAUUGUCAAGAAAAAAACAAAAAUAUAAAGGGUGAAAUCAACUCAAAAAGAUGGUUGAAACGGGAAACCAUUACCUGAAAUCAGCCAAAGAAGCAGAGACAAAUCAUAAUAAUAGAUUGAGAUGACGAGAGUGUGAUGAAGUAGAACAACUGAGAGAGAUGAUGAGAUAUUGGCACUUUGUUUUCUCAAUUCUCAUACCUACAUGUAUACCAACUGAAAGGACAACUGAACACGUAGCAAAUUCACUUCAAAUGAUGAAAAUAUCCCUUGGGCAAGCAGGCAAGACAAUCGUGAGGUACCUAUUUUAGGACUCUUGUAUAGUACAAUAAUUCGUCUUUCAUCUUUCGUCCUAUAUUAGUUGUUAACAAUACUAAAAAUAUUCACCUCAAACAUUAUAUUCAGAUGCACUACAGGAAAUAAAGAAAAGUGUAAUAGGAAGGACCCAUAUUCAUAAAAGGGUAAAAUUCAUAAGUAGCAUACUUAAGAGCCUAAUUACUAGUUUUAUAGCAACAGUUUCAUAAUUACAUUUUAUAGCAACUUUUAUUUUGUAUUUUUUUAAAAUGUUGCUAUAAAAAUACAUCUACAAAAAAAUCACUGCACUUAAUUAACUGAAAUUAGUUGAGCUAUAUAUGGUAUAAUUACCAAUCAAGUAAAUAUGUUGAUUCCUUUUCCAUUUAAAACACUUAAAAAAUGUGACAUCCGUUAUAAUCAAAUAAUUCAAAUUUUAGUUUUUCACCAUUAACAGCUGCAUUUUUUGACAAUUUCUUCUAAACCAACCCUGUAUUGCUUAAUCAAAUUGAACUGAUUCUUAUGCGAAAUUAACAGCAAUUGCAAAACGAAUCAGUUAUUCAAUUGAAUCAAAUUCAAUUGUUGAUUCAUCUAUUAUAUUUGUUUGAAUUCAACUGUCAGUUAAAAAUUUAACCAUUACUGUUGUUCAAGGUACAUAACCAUUAUUGCUAUUCAGUUCACUUUUUUUUACCAUUACUGAUGUGCUUAUCAUGUUUUGAUUGUCGUCGUUAAUUUGUAUAUGAAAAAAUUGAAAAACAAAUUAUAGUUAUAAUCAAGACAGCAGUAAAAUUGAAAUUCAAGUAUCUGUUGCAAAUUUCAUCUUUAAAGUAGUUUCAAUGGGGAAAAAAUCAGUAUUCGACUCUAUUUUUUAUGAUCGUUUGUUGUUAUAUUGAUUGUUUUAACAAUAGAAUAAUUGUAAACAACUUUCGAAUUGAAAUACAUUCAAUUUUUUUUUGAAAUACUAGAUAAUUGAUUGAACGAAUGUUUCUAUUGAAGUUGACGUUAUUCUAUGAACCCAGAUAAAAGUAUAAAAUAUCUUCAUCUUUAUGUAUUUUUGAUGUGUUUAAUGAUAACACUGCAUAUGUAUUUUUGAUAUUGUUAAUGGUAAUGGUGCAUAUGUAUUUUUUGUUUUGUUUUAGGAAUUUUGAUAUAUAAAUGUAUAUUUGCAAAAAUAUUUUAGUUUAAGGUAAUCUUGUGUGUAUGUAUUUUUUUAAUUGAGAUGUUGGUUGUGUAUCUUUGUUUGCACGUAAAUCUAAAAAGUGCGUGUUAUAAGAAGGGAUAUUUGACAAAUUGGUAUAUAAAAUAUCAAAUUACAAAUUAUUUAUGCUCCAAAUGUAUUUUUUUGAUAUGCUUCGUUUUAACACUACAUAUGUAUUUUAUAUGCGAUAUAUGUAAACACUGCAUAUGUAUUUUUGUUUUGCUUGUGGGAAUUUGAGAGUAUAAGUGUAUAUGUGAUAAUAUGUUUGGUGUCUAUUUUACUUUCGUUUGAUCAAAUAGUUUGUGUAUUUUGUAUUUUAGAAAUAGAAAGCAUACCAGUCCUUGUGAAGUACUCUGAUCGAUGGACGUACGAAAAGAACUUCGAAGAAUAUGUCACUGAUGCUAUACUGUUGAGCACAUCAGCCACAUUCAUUGAGCUGCACGAUGUUUUGGCAUCUCACUUAAGUGAGGAUUUAACCAUCAAACGUAUUCUAGUGUAAUAUCAAAUCACUCCUAAUGCAAGGCAGAUAGAAAUACAUAACGAUAUGGGUUUAAAAGUGUUUAUAUUGCAGAAAAAGUUGAUACAAGACAUGAAUUGUCGUCCUUUAUAUGUAAGCCUUUUGGAUAAAGUUGUAGGGAGCAACUUGGCAAGUUCAUCUAUAUGUGUUGCUAAAAGAGGAAUCAACUGUAACAACUUGGAAACAGUGAUAAAUACAACAAAUGAAGGACCUUUGGUGGUUUGUGAAAAUACAGAAGCUUUAGAUGUUUUUGAGAUGGAUCCUGUCGAGGUGAUUAUCUCAGACCCACAUCAUAAGCAUGUUGAGGAAGACCAUGUUUACUUGAGAAAAAGAAUUUUAAAGUCAGCCAUGAAGGACUAUUCAAUUAGGGAGAAGUUUCAAACGCGCAGUAAAAGGUCAAGUAAGAAAACGUACAUACAUUCUAUAUCUCUCAGAUCUUGUUUAAUAUUAGUUUGGAUAUGUAGUUUUAAUGUAAUAAAUUAUGUUGUGUGUAGGUAUAUAUUAUUUUGCAAAUUAAGAAACUGUGAGUUUUUAAUGCGUGCAUCAGGAAUAGGAGAAACGGGAAUGUUUAGAAUAAUAGAAUUCAGACCUCAAUGUACAUGCCCGGUGAAGGACAAUAUCUAUCCAAAGGUGCAUCCAACUAGUAUAUAGAUAGUUGGUAUGGUUAAACAGAAAUUCAAAAACCACAAAAGAAAAUACAGUGCGACGAAAAUAAAAAAUGACAUGAAGAAAGAUUUUGGUAUGGAUUUGACAUACACUUUAUGUUGGAGGGCAAAGGAAAGAGCGUUAGAAGAAUUGAAGGGUAAGCCAUCAGCAUCUUAUGGGAAACUGCCAUCAUACUUAUAUGUUCUAAAUACUACCUAUCCGAAUUCACAUAUAAGAAUGAAGAAGACAAAUGAUAAUGCGUUCUUGUAUGUAUUUAUCGCUCUACAUGCAUUCAUUAAAGGAUUCGAUCAUUGUAGACCAUUCGUAGUUGUUGAUACUAGUCAUUUGAGAGGAAUGUAUACUGGGGCAUUUAUAACAGCAUAUACAACGGAUAGAGCAGGUUAGUAUCAUUUAAUUACUAUAACUGGUUGUAUUUUUUUGGCUUUCUAUUGUAGAGUUGAAAAAUACAUAUAUCCAAUUCAUAAAUACAUAUGUGUGUAUAAUUAGAUAUAUGUUCAAAGUUUUCUAAAUGAAACAUGUAAAAUUGAUUAUGUUUGAUAGUGAGGUUGAUGUAAAUUUUAUUAUAUGUAAUUGAUACAAUUUACGGUAGAUAAAAUAUACAUUUUAAUUGAACUAUAUUGUAAUAAAUACAUAUGGAGUUCCUAACUGUAUUUAAAUCGGCCUGCGCAGUUUUUUUUAUAUGCGCAGGCUCUAUAUUUUCUUUGGCAUAUGUUGUGCUUGAUUCUGAAAAUUAUGAAUUAUGUAUACAGGUCAUAUAUUUCCUUUGGCAUAUGGUGUGCUUGAUUCUGAAAAUGAUGCAUCUUGGACGUGGUUCUUCAAGAAUCUAAAGGAAGCGUAUGGGGUUAGACAAAACAUGUGUGUUUUGUCUGAUAGGAAUCCAAGCAUCAUAAAGGUUGUUGGUGAUGUGUAUGAAGAUGUUCCACAUUAUGCAUGUAUGUGGAAUCUAUGGGGUAAUAUGAAAAAACUUUACAGAAAGUCACACGAUGCAUUGUUGGAGAUAUUUUAUACAAUGGCCAAAUCAUAUUAAAAUUCAGAAUUUCAUAUGUUAAUGGAAAAAGUUGAGGCAGCUGAUACAAGGGUGAAGAUAUAUUUUGAAUUGGCCGGUUACGAAAAGUAGGCUUGGUCAUAUGCAAUAUUUCACAGAGGAUGGACUUUGACUUCAAACAUUUCAGAGUCAAUAAAUGGAGUGCUUGUAUCAGCUAGAGAACUGUUAAUUUAUGACUUUCUUGAGGAAGUUCGAUUACUGUUUGCAAAACAGAAUUGUGCAAAUAGGCAGGAGUCUUCAUAUACCUUCACAACACUCAUUAGAAAGUUUAAUGACAUACUUAGUGAGAACGAGGCUUUGUGUACCUGUAUGACGGUAUGACCUUUUUGAUUUGUGGAAAUUUUAAUUAUGGAAACAUAAAUAUGAAAGGAUAAAAUGCAUAAAGUAUCAAUGUGAAAAUACUUUCCAUGCAGUUGUAAAUAAAUAAAAAGAUAUAAAACAUAAAAUAUAUGAACAUUUAAAAUACAUAAUAUGUAUUUUGCAUAUGUAUAUUGUUGUAUUGAAAAUUACUAAAAACUGCAUAUGUAUUUGACUGCUCUGUAAAAAUGUAAUCUGCAUAUGUAUUUUUAUUACAUAAAUAUUUUUUAUUUUUAUGUUAGGUUGUACCAGCCACAGAAUAUAUAUAUACGGUACACGACAAACAAAAGUACUUCAUUAUUUGCAUCAAAGAAAAGAAAUGCUCAUGUAAUGUUUUUCAAAUAGAUGAGAUACCAUAUGCACAUGCUUGUGCGGUGUUAGAGAAAAAAAAUUUUGAGAAGGGGCCAUACUGUUCUGAUUUGUUUAAACCAAAACAGUUUUGAAGACAUAUGAUAUUCCAAUCUACCCGUUGCCACACAGCGAUGGCUGGAUAAUUCCAAAGAACACACUUGCUGAAAUAGUACUGCCUCCAAAAUACAAAAGACCUCCAGGAAGACCUGCAAAGAAGGAUCGUGGAAAAUCAGGACGGGAUAUGUUUGGAAAAAAGAAUAUCAACUCAUGUGGUGGUUGUGGGGCUAAGGGUCACAAUAGGCGCUCNNNNNNNNNNNNNNNNNNNNNNNNNNNNNNNNNNNNNNNNNNNNNNNNNNNNNNNNNNNNNNNNNNNNNNNNNNNNNNNNNNNNNNNNNNNNNNNNNNNNAAUCAUUUGACAAUUAAAGACAGUAAUAUCUGAAUAAUGGAGCUAUAUAUGUUUCAAAAUCUGUAUAUUACAUAUGUAUUUUUAAGCAGCAGUUCAUAUGUAUUUUUGACAUAGUAAAUAUAUGUUAGGUUAAAGGUGGUAACUUUGAUUAACAAAACAAGUAUAUGAUUCGUAAUUGUUCAAAGUUUUAAAUAUAUGUUUGAAUUGCAUAAUGUUAUUACUGCAUAUGAAUUUCUACUGUAAAAAUACAUUUGAUGUAUAAUACAUAUGUAUUUUUAAAAAAAAAGUAUAAUCACUGCAUAUGUAUUUGGUAACUAUAGACAAACCUAUAACUUCAUAAAAAAAGUCAAAUUUAUCUUUAAUUCAAAUUCUCAAGUAUAAUUAUUUUAAAUGAACACAUAUCAAAAAUUAAAUAUUAGGUUUGAUCAAUAUGUAUUUUUCAACAUCUUUAUAUUAACAUGAAAUAUGUAUUUUUUGGGGAAAUAUUUAUAAUGUAUAAUCCAUAUGUAUUUUAUAGCAAAAUAUCAACACUGCAUAUAUAUUUUUUAAAUAUCUGCAUUAAAAUGUCAAAUUACACUUUAAUUUAAAUCCUAAUUUAUAAUUAUAGUUAAUGAAAAUAUAGUAAAAAUGCAUAUUAGGUAUGUUGCAGUGGCAUUUUUUAAGUGUUUGUUUCUAAUAUUUCAUAUGUAUUUUUUUGCUGAAUAACAAUUGAUUUAUACUACAUAUGUAUUUUUAAGGAUAGGAAUAUGGUGAAAAACUUUAAAGAAUAACAACAAUAUCUUAAAUACAUAUUAGGAAUGGUCCAUAUGUAUUUUUGCAAUAUUUGAUUUUAACACUGAAUAUUUAUUUUUAUACGAUAUAUGCAUUUGUAAAUGUAAAAUACAUAUUUGUUCAUCUAAAAACAAAAGAUAUUUAUUUUUAAGGCAUAAAAAUUUCUGUAUAUGUAUUUUCAGAAUAAUAUGAACAAUACAUAUGUAUUUUACAACAAAAUUACACACUAAAAUGAAGAACAAUAUAAAAGACUCAUAUUAAACUUGAAUUAGUACUAUUAUAAUCUACAAUUAGAACCACUUCAAAACAUCAAAAUUAGUUUGUAUAAUCAGUUCCUACAUUCAUAAACCAUCAGUCAUCAUACAUCAAAAACUUCAGUUACACUAGUUAUUCUACUUUACUUUAGAGGCCUCAAAGGUGCUUCAACAUCACCAUGAGUAUUUAAUUCUUGCUUUAUGGUCCCAUAAUCCCACAAAGUUGCAGCAUAUCUUGUACAGAGUGCAUUGGGGUCGAACUCAGUCGCAAGAAUUUUGUGACCAUAAGAAAGACACUCUGCAUAUGUAACUAUAUAGACACCACAAUCCCUACAAAAAAAAUAAAAAAAAUAAAAAAAACACAUAUGUGCUUAAAUAUAUAUUUUUAAAAAAUAGAUUUUUGUUAUAUAUAAAUUAAAUAACUUACAAGCUUCCGCUCGGUUGUUGAGGCAAAUUCUCUUGAAAUAACACAUCAAACAUAUCUGAGGAGUCUUUGUCUUUGUAUCUUGGAUGGUUUUCAACAUGAAUUCCUUUCUUAACGUAGAAAUCACAAUGUUCAAGACACAAUGGGAUAAUCGCAGCUAAUUUCUCAAUGACAUUAAGAAUAGCCGAAUAAUGUUCAGAUGAUUCAUAUGAAUCAUAUAGGAAUAUGCACCUCUCUGAGAAAGAUAAAAUUGCUAGCACCCAAUGAUGUUUUUCCUUUAUAUUUACUAGAAUAUAAAUGUCUUCCACUGUAUGCCAUGGCACAGCAGCAUGCAUACGAAAUCCAUUUAUGUAUUCAUUAACAUAUGCCACAUGUCCUCCAGCCAUAAGGUUUUCAGCAUCCCCAAAAUAAACAUCAUGGAAAGAGCUAAUUAUGUUCAUAAAGUUGCAAUCUACUGUGCUGAAUUUGUAAGACCUGUUGGGGUCAUACUUUAACUUCUUCCUCAAGUAGUAGAAGCAAACAUCAAUAUGCUGCAGUACGUAAGAACACAAAAAUUUAAUAUAAUUCAAACUAUUUGUAUACUACAUGUAGCAUGUGUAUGUUUUAUAAAAAUACAUAUGUAAGUUAUAGUGCAUCACAUCCUUUCUUAUAUAAUAAAAAAUUACAUAGAAAAAUACAUAUUUUCACCUGUAUAUGUAUUUACUAACAUAAUAUGCAAUUUAAUUACUGCUAUAAAUGUAAAAAAAAAUAUUGUUAAAAAAAAUACUAACCGAGUCGGUCCAUGACUGAUCAGGGAACCCCAUUAUGUAGAACCAGUUUUUAUCUUCAACAGUCUCAAUUCUGAAAUGCAUCAUUGGAAUGGUUGAUUUCCCCCUUUUGUAAUGAUCCGCAUUUUCCUUCCUAUUUUUUGUUGUUAAUAAGUAUAUGUUAAAUGUAAUUUUAAAAAAAUAAAAUUAAAAAUGUUCAAUAGAAAUACCUUUUAGCAUGAACUUCGAGAAGGUCUUCAGAAAUCCAAUCCCUAAACUUGUUGACAAUUUUCGUAUCCACAAUCCCAUCAAUCGGAUGAUAAACAAAUGGAUGUUUCUGUGGGAAUAUACGUAUAUGUCCUUCCGAGCUCUCUAUAUAGUUACACAAUACAAAAACGUAAUUAUUAAAAAGUAUUUGCAUAACAUGUUACAUUGUAAACUAAAUAUAUAACUAAUUGUACUUACCGGCAGCUGAACCAAAUUUCAUCGUGUAAGUUGACUCUUUGAAUUUGAAUGGUCGCCUAAUCCUUAACUUAGCAAUAGGAGUUUGAAUUUCACGAUUAGCAGAGGGAUGAACAAUAAUGCUUUUACUACUGUAUACAUUCAAAGUAGGAAGCAAGUCAUCAAGGAUUGUGUCUUGUGAAUCAGGCAAAACUGUUUCAUCCCUUUUUUCAUCAAUGGUUAAGUCUUGUGUUUUAGGAGUUGUCAUAAUCUACUCCUCCGUACCAACAUCAACCUCUUCGUGCAUGUCUGCUUUAGAGCUCGAACCAACUUUCUCUUUAUUUUUCUUCAAAAUUGGAAAAAAAAUAAUUUUUUAUGUCCAAAAUAACCCACAUAACCUCAAAUAUAUUCAUAAUACAUACCUGACAAUGCUCUUGAACAACAGAUUUGGACUUCUUAUUAUUAAAAUAUUCAUCAAUUUGUUCUUCUUCUGAAGUUGCCAAUGGAUGUCUCAUGGUGCUUUCUCUUCGGUAUGCUUUAAGACUUAGUAACAACUCAUCUGGGAUUGUAAACUGCGAAUCAGACAAAUUUGUAUCAUCCAAUUUCUCAUCAGUAAUCUUCAAUAGAAAUAAAAGAAAAUAUAUAAUUGUCUUAUGGAUUGUUAUGAUUUUUACAUCACAUAAACUGAAGUGUAAUUCAUUAUACAUACUCGAUCAUCGUGAUGAACAAUCUUCUCAGAAAGAUUAUAAUCCAAAUUUAUACUUUGGAGAAGCUCAUCAGGGAUUAAAUAUUGAGAAUCAAUUUGAAUGUUUGUUUUAUCUGGAUGCAAAUCAGUGCACCCCUUGCAAACAAUCAAAGAAAUUAAACCAACUUCAAAAACAAAAAUCCAGUUGUAUAUAUUUAUACAGGAUUAUAUAUAUAAAAUAACAUAUAACUGCUAUAAAAAAGUAAUUACAUUUGUGCACUCAAAAUAAUAAUAAUAUUUUCAUUAUUUUUUACCUUUGUACCAUCCUGAUUCUCAUCCAAAUUUUGAUCAACAAUAGGACUGAAUUGUUGUGGUGAUGUUUCAACACCAGUAUAAUCUAUCUGUUGUGCCUCAACCUCUGUAUCUUCAUGUUGUUGCUACAAGUAUAAUUUGAAUAAACUACUAUUAUUUGAUUUCACUUGAUAUGUAUAUAGCAACCCACUGAAAAAAAUACUGUUGGAAAAUACAUUUCUUGACACACAGCAUAUGUAUUUUGCAAUACAUUGCAUAUGUAUUUUUUCAAAAUAAACAAAUAUGUAUUUUUUGAAUAAACUUCAUAUGUAUUUUUAGUAAUAUACUGCAUAUGUAUUUUUUACAAACUCUAUGUGUGUAUUAAACAAAAUACAUUUCAUAUGUAUUUUUUUAUAUCAAAUCAUAUGUAUUUUUUGUGUAAACUCCAUAUGUAUUUUUAGCAAUGUACUGCAUAUAUAUUUUUUCAUAUACUCUGCAUAUAUAUUUUUUUAAUAAUGUGGAUAUUAUAUAAUAAUAAAACUUUUACCUUGCUAUGUUCAGUUGCUUUAACCAUUUUUUUGAACUUUUUCUUCACUAACUUACGAAUUCGAGUAAACUCUUGACGAACCUGUAUUCAUACAAAUUCAUUAAAUACAUAUUUUUUAAUGUAAAACAAACAUUUGACAAAAAAAAUUACCUUUUCGCGGAUGCAUCAAAAACUUUCUUAGAAAUAAAUUUUUCUUUCUCAACAUGACUCUCACGCUUUGACGCGGCUACUUCCUCUACAUGACUAUCUGCCUUUGACUGUACCUGAGGAAAAAUAACCCUAACUGUUUUUUUUCCUUCCUUUAUUUUUGAAGAAGAAGCUUGUCGUGUUGGAAUUGGCUUGAAUACUGGUGUCUUCAUUACAGCAGCCUUGGCAGCACGAUGAGGUAGAGUCCUCGUUUGGGUAUGUGCGUCACCAAUAUUCACUUGCUUUUUCCCUGCAGGUUCCUUCGCUACUGGGGUUGAUGAAUUCACCUUCUGUUUUUUCUUUGAACGUUCGUUGAUCUUCUUUGGUGGUGGAUCCUGAAAGUCAUCGUCAGAAUCAACUAAACAUUCAUCUUCAGUUACAUCCUUCUUUGGUAUUUCAAGCUUUGCCAUUUCCAUUUCAGUUGGCUCUAUGUUCUUAAAUACAACCUACGACUAUGUUAAAUAAUAUUCUAAAGAAAUGAAAAUGAAAUAGAACAUAUGUAUACAGUACAUAUCAAUGCAUAUAUAUUUGUUCACAACAAACCUUGCUAUUGUCCUUGAACAUAGCAUUCAUCAAAAACUCAUAGCGUGAACGAGGUGCAAUCGUCUUCCAAUUUAAUAAUCGGAAAAUCCAAUUCUCAACUUUCAAUGCAAUCUUUGGUGGGACAUUUGAACAACACUCAUAUAGCUACACUUGAAUAGCCAAUGACAUUCCCUGAAUCAAAUAAAAUUUGCCCCCAGCUUUCAGUCGGUUGUUCAAACUUCUAGCCAGAUCUUCAAAAGAUAAAGAACCCCAUGGAAAAUCCUUAUAUCUACCACUAUCUAUCAAAUCAAAAUAAAGACGGGGUAUAACAACAAUGUCAAUGUUAGACAACACAAAUGAAUGUAGGAAAUACAGAAUUGUAAAUUUCUCAGUAUCCUCAUCAUUAUUCUCCCCCCAUACUUUUUCCGUGAAUGCUAAAAAUAGUUGUCUUUUCUGUAUAAUUUCUGCCCCAUUGAAAUGCUUUUCAAUCAUCCUAUUUGGUACACCCUCAUCAAAAGUAAAGUCAUACCUAUUAGACACACAAUUCAAUCCGGUUAUGAUAGCAAAUUCCAUGGGAGUAAAACUAAGAGAGGUGCCAUUAGCAGAUAUCAUAAUCCCAGAAGAAGAACUACCCUUCACCUCAAGUGUCAUAACAUAUCUACACAACUGUGCUUGCACUACACAUUGCUUCUUCUUCAUAAAAUAACCAAAAAUGUUAUUCUCACAAAAGUUUUUAAACUGUUCCUUGUAUAAAAUUACGCGUAUGCUUCCAUAAAUAUCAUUGUCACUGUAUGAGCACAUGUGCGGUGCAAAUUUUGAAAGUUUUCUGACAAGGAAUAUUUCAUCCCGCAUCACCUAUACAAAGUAAAACUACCACUUCUUAAUAUGUACACAAAAUUCAAUCAAACAAAAAAAACAUAUAGCAUGCAUAUAUAUUUCAGAUGAUUAAAAUGCAUAUGUAUUUUGAUCAACUCAUAAAUGAAACCAACACUGAAAAAUACAUAUCAAAUGUACUAAAAAUACAUAUAAACAAUAGACUGUUAUGGUAUUUGAACUAAAAUAACUUGCAUAUUUAUUUUAACAUUGUAAAAUAUACAACAAACACUGAAAAAAAUACAAAUACUCAAUAUGCAUAUCAACUAUGUUAAAAAAACAUAUAUGUCAAAAUUAUUCAACUAUACUAAAAAUACAAUUCAACUAUACUAAAAAUACAUAUCACCUAUACUAGAAAAAUAUAUAUCCAAAAUACUAUUAAUGAGUAGUUAAUUUCAACAAUAUAUUUUCACAUAAUCCCUAAAUAUCAUCAUAACAGAAAAUACAUAAUUACUUGAACACUAAAAAAAAAUACAUUUUAAAAUAAAAAUAUACCUCUUCCUCACUUUCUUCUUCAGAUUCAUCAUAAGAUUUCUCAACCUUGUCUUCAAUUUCUUUAGAUUUCCUUUUCUUCUCGAGUUGUUUUUAAGUUUUUUGUUCCUUUGGAGAAGGAGUUUUAUUCAACCCUUUUCUUUUUAAAAUUUCCGUCAUCUUCACUUCGUCGAUACAGAACUUCGACCUAAUCUCUUUCGAUAUACCAAAUUUCCUCAACUGUAAGGGAUUUGAAACAACAGUUACUAAAUAUUCUUGAAUUAACUCAAGACUAAAUGAUGGUGCAUUAUACACUAAUUUCAUAUUCCUUGUACCACUGUUUAUAGGUGCUUUUGCAGUGUGUUCAUCCAUUAAAACACAAAACCCUUAAAAAUUAAUUUUUCGAUGAAUUAGAGUAAGCCAAAAAAAAAUCGCUCACAUGCAAAAUACGAUUCCUAAUUACCUGAAAUAUGGGAAGCAAAUCCUUAUCACAUAUCGUGCAAGAAUCAUGCAAAAUGCAAUAAGAUUGAGGAGAGAGUGAUGGUUAAUAGCGAAAAAAUAGGAAAAAAAAAUUAAUUAAGGAAAGAUAAUGAAGGAGGAGUGAAAAGGGGGAUUUUCUCACAGUAAAAAAUUUUAACGGCUGUCACGCCCCAAAUCCUAUUAAGGCGGACUGGCACCCGUUGCCGGUAAGGCUCGGGAGAACCAACCUGUAGCAAUAUAUUACCUAUGAACAUUAUAAGUUCCUUUCAUACUAAACAUGCCCUCAAAAGAUAAAUAGGACUAGCAAGUCAAAAGAUAUUAUAUGACUAGGCCGUUGGAGCCACAAUGUCUACGAUACGAUACAUGACCAUACUAUACUUUACGUAGUCUACAAAGCCUCUAGACAAGAAACGUUAUCUUAUAAGGGUCGGGACAGGCCCCGCCUCAUGAUAAGAUACUAUACAAUGCAAAAAGAUAUGAUAAGACUCAAAGCCCCGAAGCAACCUGGAGCUCAGUGACUGCGGUUGAUAUCCUGUACUCUUACUAGGGAGGUUUAUUAGCUUCUGUACCUGCAGCAUGGAAUGCAGGUCCCCCAAGAGGGACGUCAGUACGAAAUAAUGUACUGAAUAUGUAAGGCAACAUGUACUAUAUAUGAGAUAAAAACUCAAAUGAAACCAUGUACUGCUGUAGGGUAAAAGACCACCUUUAUGAAUAUUGUGGAGUCAUGUAUCUUAUAACAAUUAUGUUACUUUACUCUUAUUACUUGAAUAAUCUGUGCACAGCAUGUAAUACAAAUGACCAGCUGAUCAGUGGUAAUUCUAUAUCAGGAUCGACCCAUGCUAGGCUUUCCUUUCACCCCUGGGAUACCCCCUGUAAUACUGGGAUUGACCCAUGCUAGGUGAUUCUUUCACCCCUGGGAUACCACCCAACAGAAGCAACUGUAUACAUAUAUCUUCUUAUUACUUUUGAGAUGAAUCUUUGGUGGUCGUAACAUUUGAGCUAUAAGACUAUAAGCAUGACAAAUGACAAGUAUGUGUCCAUGUAACAUCAUAUCAUAAUGAAAAGAGUGGGUUGUACAAUUAGUGAAACAUGUAGGACAUAAACAACGUAUGAACUUUAUUUAGCUAAAAAGAAGACUCAUAUGUCAUGGUACCCAAUGUAUGUAUGCAGCAGUGACAAUGCUCGAAUCUGGACACACAAGUACAUGUUAAAGAGUGGAGUGGUUAUGUCAAAGUUUGUAAAGAUCUCUAUGUGCCAAUGAAGACUUUGGAUUCCAUGCCAAAUAAUAAGAGAUCGAAUAGCCUUACAUACCUCGACAUAUCAACUUGUUUUUACGUCGAAAUGACUUCUUUUCUUCCAACUAUUUAUCUACAAUAUCAUGUUUUAAAGCUAGUAUUAGCAGCUAAUCAAUGCAUCUGGACAGCCCAAUCUCACAAGACACAACACUUUGGCAACAAACGUAUAACCAUCAACUCAAUGGUGUUAUUCCGACUUUCUCAAUUCUAACUGUAUUCAACCAGCAUAGAUUAUCAUAUACAUGAUGUAUACAGCCUAUAUUAGUUCUAUAACAUGCUGGCAACAGUCCAUAACUACAACACAUAACCAUUUUACAAAACGCUCAACUAAGAAGCACAACAUCUCGUCGUCUCCCUACAUUUCGUCGUUAACAAUUCAUACUUGUCCCAACUUUGAACCAGAUGCUCCCAACAUAUAUAUACAUCAAAUAAACCUUAACAUAGUCACAAAAUAGCUCAAAACGUAGGGGAAACGUGAAACAACAUCCCCCUCAACAAAACAGUCCAAUACCAGUUUGGAAGCACAUAAGAUCAUAUAAGGAUACUUGUUUCCAAAGAACUAGCAAAACAGUCCAGCAACCUUGGCAACCAUAUACACACUAUAACAUGUUAAUAACCUCAACUUUACAUCAUAUUAAAGUGAAAAAUCAGGGUAAAAAUCGUUCCAAAGCCAAGAAAACCAAACAACAACUUUCAGGACACAAGCUGUCCAGAAAUUCCUGCACAGUGAACCAGCCAACUUAUCUUGUUUUCCAUGGAAAAUUCAUAUCAAGUAUAUGGUUAUUUUUACAUACCUUAACUCCCAAGGUGUAGGUCUAAUUCAAGAACUCAAAAAGUAGCCUUUGGUUGCCUUCCAAGGUGAAGAAAUACCAAGAGAAACUUAGAGAGAAAUUCUGAAAUUUUUUGGUCUUUUCUUUGGUUAACCUAGAGCUCGGUUUUGGUCCCUUUUUAAGGAGACUUUAGACCGACUUUCUCCUAAUAUUUGUAGCUGAUUAACUCAAGUUGGUCAAUGACUAAUUUUCCCCUUUCACUUGGGCCUUUUGGAUCUCUAAAUCAAUGGGCUUUAGUGGCCCAUUUCCUUACUCUUUCUUGCACUUUGUUUGGGCUCAAUUUUGUUAGUAGUGAAUGAAUGUAGUUGGGCCUAUUAUAUAAAAAUCUUGGGCUGAACAUCUUGGCCCAAUAUAAUGUUAAACCAUUGUCUUUAAUAGCCUCCCUAACUUGGGCUUCGUUUGUCACAAGACUUGGAAAGUUUCGGCGUUAAGCCUUGUCUUCGUUCCCCUUUCUUUUUACUAACGUCUAGACUUCAAGUGAGUUCACUUAUGAAUGAAUUCUUCUCCCUCAUGUAUAUAUAAUUUUUAAGCUAAGCACACAGGUGACUCACCUGCUAGCUCCCUAAGUUCCAUAAGCAUGUCAAUGUUUUUUUUUUCCGUUUAAGGCCACAGUCUCUAAAUAGACUUCCAUAUAGUGCCCCAAUCUAACACUUGAACACUUGAAAAAUUUUGGUAGUAAUUAAAUCAAGUCGUAUGUCAUUUUAUGUGAACAUUACUAGUGCAUGUAAAAUGUGGGGUGUUAACAUCCUCCCCCCCUCGGAACAUUCGUCCCGAAUGUUAACAUAACUGUAUAGUCUAGGCAGGUUUGAAUUUCUGGUCACACAACUUUUAAUAACAUAACUAGUAUUCAAACACAUACCUAUUAAUGUUCCUCCUCUGUAUCUUUUGGUCCCUCCUUGUCUUCAAAUAGAUGAGGGUAUUUGGAUAUCAUUACUUCCUCCGGUUCCCACGUUAUCUCUUCUACUUGGUUGUUUCUCCAGAGUACCUUUACUGAUGCCAUUUCUUUGUUCCUUAACUUUUUAACUUGGCGAUCUAGAAUAGCAACCGGUACCUCUUCAUAAGUAAGAUCCUCUGUGACCUGUACAUCUUCUAUAGGAGUGAUACGAGAGGGGUCACCUAUGCAUUUUCGAAGCAUUGACACAUGAAACACUGGAUGAACCAUUGAAAGUUCCUGGGGUAGCUCUAAUUCAUAUGCAACUUGUCCAACCCUCUUGGUAAUCUUAUAUGGCCCUAUGUAACGUGGGCUUAGUUUCCCCUUCUUACCAAAUCUCAUAACCCCUUUCAUUGGUGAUACCUUUAAAAAUACCCAAUCUCCAAUAGAGAAUUCCAGCCCUCUUCUCCGAAUAUCUGCAUAUGAUUUAUGACGACUUUGGGCUGUUUUUAGCCGUUGUUGUAUCACCUGAACUUUUUCCAUGGCUUGUUGGACUAAAUCUGGCCCGAUCAAGGUGGUUUCACCCACUUCGAACCAACCAAUUGGUGACCUACAUUUCCUUCCAUACAAAGCAUCGUAAGGUGCCAUCUUGAUGCUCGAAUGGUAGCUGUUAUUAUAGGCAAAUUCAAUAAGAGGCAAGUGUUCUACCCAGCUACCUUUAAAAUCUAAUGCACAGGUUCGCAACAUAUCCUCAAGUGUUUGAAUAGUACGCUCUGCUUGGCCGUCUAUUUGGGGAUGGAAGGCUGUACUCAAAUUCACUCGCGCCCCUAAACUCCUUUGAAAGGACUUCCAAAAUUUUGCCGUGAAUUGAGCUCCUCGAUCAGAUAUAAUAGAGAGUGGGACCCCAUGUAGCCUAACUAUCUCUUUGAGGUAUAAUUUGGCAUAUUCUUCAGCUGUAUAAUCACUCCUAACUGGCAGGAAGUGCGCUGACUUCGUGAGUCUAUCAACUAUCACCCAUAUGGAGUCAAACUUAUUAACUGAACGAGGCAAACCAGUUACAAAAUCCAUAUUAGUCAUAUCCCACUUCCAAGUUGGAAUCUCUAUACAUUGCAUGUAACCACCUGGCUUUUGGUGCUCUACUUUGACUUGUUGACAAGUAGGACAUUGAGCCACAAACUCUGCUUUGUCAGUGCUCCCCACCAAAACCCUCCCUUUAGGUCAUGAUACAUCUUAGUAGAUCCUGGGUGGAUGGAAUAUCUUGAAUGAUGGGCUUCUUCCAUUAUUCUCCUUCUGAGUCUAUUAACAUCAGGCACACACAAUCUAUUUUGGCAAUAAAGUACUCCAUCUUGUGUAAGCCUAAACUCCUUCAUUAUACCCUGACUUACUUUCUCCUUAAGGCAUUGUAGAAUAGGAUCAUAACACUGUUUUUCUUUCACUUCCCUUAUCAAUGAAGAAUCGGUAGCAUUAUGUACAAUAAUAUCCUUCCUUGGAGUUUCGAGUAGACGAACACCCAGAUUGGCUAGUUGACGCAGAUCCUUAGCCAUGCCUUGCUUUACCCCUUUCUGAUCACUGGUACCCAUGAGUGUCUUACGACUUAGAGCAUCAGCCACCACAUUUGCUUUCCCUGGAUGGUAUAAUAUAUCAAUAUCAUAAUCUUUUAUUAACUCUAGCCACCUCCGCUGCCUCAAAUUUAGAUCUUUCUGCUUGAAAAUAUACUGUAAACUCUUAUGAUCUGUAUAUAUGUCCACGUGUAUCCCAUACAAAUAGUGGCGCCAUAUCUUUAAAGCAAAUACAACCGCUGCUAGCUCAAGAUCAUGUGUUGGGUAGUUUUUCUCGUGUGGUCUCAAUUGUCUCGAGGCAUAAGCAAUCACUUUACCAUGUUGUGUUAGUACACACCCUAAACCAACUCCUGAAGCAUCACAAUACACUGCAUAUCCCUCUGAGCCUUCUGGAAGCACUAGCACAGGUGCUGAGGUUAGCCUACUUUUCAACUCUUGAAAGCUCCUUUCACAUGCAUCAUUCCAUUGGAAUUUGGUUUCCUUGUGAGUUAGCUUAGUAAGAGGUGCAGAUAUAGAAGAAAAACCUUCAACAAACCUUCUGUAAUAACCUGCCAAUCCAAGGAAGCUUCGAACUUCUGUAGGUGUCGUUGGCCUUGGCCAAUCUUUCACAGCCUCUAUCUUUUGUGAAUCCACCCUUAUUCCUUCAUCCGAUACAAUAUGGCCCAAAAAUGCCACUGACUUUAACCAAAAUUCACAUUUGGAAAACUUAGCAUACAACCGACGAUCACGGAGAACUUGUAGCACUAGUCGUAAAUGAUUUGCAUGGUCCUCUUCUGACCUUGAAUACACCAGAAUAUCAUCUAUAAAUACUAUCACGAACACAUCCAGGAAAGGCUUGAACACUCUAUUCAUCAAAUCCAUAAAAACUGCUGGUGCAUUCGUUAGCCCAAACGACAUAACAAGAAAUUCAAAGUGACCAUAUCUGGUUCGGAAAGCUGUCUUAGGUAUAUCCUUUUCCUUCACUCUCACCUGAUGAUAACCUGAUCUCAAAUCGAUCUUUGAAAAGUAUUUGGCACCCUGUAACUGAUCAAACAAGUCAUCAAUUCUGGGGAGGGGAUAUUUAUUCUUAAUUGUCACCCUAUUCAGUUGUCGGUAGUCAAUACACAUCCUCAAUGUGCCAUCCUUUUUACGCACAAAUAAAACUGGUGCACCCCAAGGGGACACACUAGGCCUUAUAAAACCCUUUUCUAACAAGUCUUUCAGUUGCUCCUUUAAUUCACGUAAUUCUGCCGGGGCCAUUCUAUAUGGAGGGAUAGAGAUAGGCUCAGUGCCUGGUAAUAAGUCAAUACCAAAAUCUAUUUCUCGUUCUGGAGGCAAACCAGGGAGUUCCUCAGGAAAGACAUCAAUAAAUUCAUUCACUAUUGGAACAGACUGGAUAGUUGGUGAUUCUGCCUCCACAUCUCUCACUCUAACGAGAUGACAUAUAUAUCCCUUUGAUAUCAUUUUUCUGGCUUUAAAAUAAGAGAUAAACCUCCCUUUUGGUGCCCCAAUAUUGCCUUCCCAUUCAAGGACUGCUUCAUUUGGAAAGUGAAAGUACACUCUCUUGGUUCGGCAGUCAACGGUGGCAUAGCAAGAAGCCAACCAAUCCAUACCCAUUAUAACAUCAAAUUCUACCAUUUCUAACUCGAUAAGAUCAGCUAAUGUAUCUCGGUCGCAGAUAGUCACUAUGCAGUCACAAUAGACUCUUCUAGCUAUAAUUGACUCCCCAGUUGGUGUAGACACCGCAAGUGGUUGAUUCAAUAAUUUAGGUGUUCUACCAAGCUUCCCAGCAACUAAUGGAGUAAUAUAUGACAAUGUAGAACCAGGGUCAAUUAAUGCAUACGCUUUAUGUGAGAAGAUGGACAAUGUACCUAUAACCACAUCGGGUGAAGCUUCCAGGUUCUGUCGAGUCCCUAGAGCAUAUGUGCGAUUUUGGGCCACGCUGGAACUAGCUGCCCCUCUAAUACCUCUGCCGCGACCUAUAGGAAAUUGCUCACCUCUACCUGAUGGAGGCACUGAUGAUGAUGAUGCAACAGCUGAUCCAGUAGGGUGUGCCAUAUCGCCCCUGCGUCUUCUUGGGCAAUCUUUUAUUACAUGCCCUGGCAUACCACACCAAUAACAAACAUCUGUUCCCAUGCGACACGCACCUAUAUGAUAUCUCCCACAUUGUCUGCAAGGCUGCCUAGGAGGCAUUCGCUGGCUUCCCGAAUAUCCUGUUGUCCGUGUACCUUGGCCCUCACUUCUCUGCCCAAAUUGAUCAUUUCUAGACCCUUGAAGUUGUGGUGGAGCACUAGCUGUAGAGUAAGAGGAUGAUGGCCUGGAUGGCCUGUUAGAAAAUCGUGGCCUAAACUCACCCUGGGGUGGUGUAAACUGUCCUGUAGAUCUGGCCCUCUUGGAUUGCCCCCUUUCUAUUUCUUGUGCCCUCCUUCUUUGUCUCUGAUCCUCCAGUUUCUGUGCAAAAGCUUGCAUCCUCGCUAUAUCCAUGUCUUUAUUCAAAGAAGCAAUGGUACAAUCUCUAACCAAAUAUGAAUCCAACCUAUCCACAUACCGAUGGACUCUAUCUGCCAUAGUAGCAACAACACUAGGAGCGUACCUGGCCAGAGAAUUAAAUUUAAGACUAUAUUCCCUCACGCUCAUAUUCCCCUGAUGGAGGUUCAGGAACUGAUCUGCACGGGCCUCUCGGAUCUCUAAUGGCAAGUAAUGAUCAAGAAAGGCCAUUUUGAACUCCUCCCAAGUAGUUGGAGGUGUAUCUAUGCCUUGGAAACAGCAGAUGAGCAAUCCUUUGAAAAUAAUAAAAAUAGAUCACUCAUCGGUUGUACCAAGUAGGUUUUCUGUUGCAACUUAUAACCUACCUGUUACAGCAGAUGAGCAAUCCUUUGAAAAUAAUAAAAAUAGAUCACUCAUCGGUUGUACCAAGUAGGUUUUCUGUUGCAACUUAUAACCUACCUGUUACAGCAGAUGAGCAAUCCUUUGAAAAUAAUAAAAAUAGAUCACUCAUCGGUUGUACCAAGUAGGUUUUCUGUUGCAACUUAUAACCUACCUGUUACAGCAGAUGAGCAAUCCUUUGAAAAUAAUAAAAAUAGAUCACUCAUCGGUUGUACCAAGUAGGUUUUCUGUUGCAACUUAUAACCUACCUGUUACAGCAGAUGAGCAAUCCUUUGAAAAUAAUAAAAAUAGAUCACUCAUCGGUUGUACCAAGUAGGUUUUCUGUUGCAACUUAUAACCUACCUGUUACAGCAGAUGAGCAAUCCUUUGAAAAUAAUAAAAAUAGAUCACUCAUCGGUUGUACCAAGUAGGUUUUCUGUUGCAACUUAUAACCUACCUGUUACAGCAGAUGAGCAAUCCUUUGAAAAUAAUAAAAAUAGAUCACUCAUCGGUUGUACCAAGUAGGUUUUCUGUUGCAACUUAUAACCUACCUGUUACAGCAGAUGAGCAAUCCUUUGAAAAUAAUAAAAAUAGAUCACUCAUCGGUUGUACCAAGUAGGUUUUCUGUUGCAACUUAUAACCUACCUGUUACAGCAGAUGAGCAAUCCUUUGAAAAUAAUAAAAAUAGAUCACUCAUCGGUUGUACCAAGUAGGUUUUCUGUUGCAACUUAUAACCUACCUGUUACAGCAGAUGAGCAAUCCUUUGAAAAUAAUAAAAAUAGAUCACUCAUCGGUUGUACCAAGUAGGUUUUCUGUUGCAACUUAUAACCUACCUGUUACAGCAGAUGAGCAAUCCUUUGAAAAUAAUAAAAAUAGAUCACUCAUCGGUUGUACCAAGUAGGUUUUCUGUUGCAACUUAUAACCUACCUGUUACAGCAGAUGAGCAAUCCUUUGAAAAUAAUAAAAAUAGAUCACUCAUCGGUUGUACCAAGUAGGUUUUCUGUUGCAACUUAUAACCUACCUGUUACAGCAGAUGAGCAAUCCUUUGAAAAUAAUAAAAAUAGAUCACUCAUCUGUUGCACCAUGUAGUUUAUCUGUUGCAACCUAUAACCAACCUGUUGCAGAAAAUAAGUAAUCCAUUAGAAAUAAUAAAAACAUAUCACUUAUCUACUAAAAUAGAUCACUCAUCUUUUGCAAAAUGAGUUAUCUGUUGGAUCAGUAUUGUCACGCCCCAAAUCCUAUUAAGGCGGACUGGCACCCGUUGCCGGUAAGGCUCGGGAGAACCAACCUGUAGCGAUACAUUACCUAUGAACAUUAUAAGUUACUUUCAUACUAAACAUGCCCUCAAAAGAUAAAUAGGACUAGCAAGCCAAAAGAUAUUAUAUGACUAGGCCGUUGGAGCCACAAUGUCUACGGUACGAUACAUGACCAUACUAUACUUUACGUAGUCUACAAAGCCUCUAGACAAGAAACGUUAUCUUAUAAGGGUCGGGACAGGCCCCGCCUCAUGAUAAGAUACUAUACAAUGCAAAAAGAUAUGAUAAGACUCAAAGCCCCGAAGCAACCUGGAGCUCAGUGACUGCGGUUGAUAUCCUGUACUCUUACUAGGGAGGUUUAUUAGCUUCUGUACCUGCAGCAUGGAAUGCAGGUCCCCCAAGAGGGACGUCAGUACGAAAUAAUGUACUGAAUAUGUAAGGCAACAUGUACUAUAUAUGAGAUAAAAACUCAAAUGAAACCAUGUACUGCUGUAGGGUAAAAGACCACCUUUAUGAAUAUUGUGGAGUCAUGUAUCUUAUAACAAUUAUGUUACUUUACUCUUAUUACUUGAAUAAUCUGUGCACAGCAUGUAAUACAAAUGACCAGCUGAUCAGUGGUAAUUCUAUAUCAGGAUCGACCCAUGCUAGGCUUUCCUUUCACCCCUGGGAUACCCCCUGUAAUACUGGGAUUGACCCAUGCUAGGUGAUUCUUUCACCCCUGGGAUACCACCCAACAGAAGCAACUGUAUACAUAUAUCUUCUUAUUACUUUUGAGAUGAAUCUUUGGUGGUCGUAACAUUUGAGCUAUAAGACUAUAAGCAUGACAAAUGACAAGUAUGUGUCCAUGUAACAUCAUAUCAUAAUGAAAAGAGUGGGUUGUACAAUUAGUGAAACAUGUAGGACAUAAACAACGUAUGAACUUUAUUUAGCUAAAAAGAAGACUCAUAUGUCAUGGUACCCAAUGUAUGUAUGCAGCAGUGACAAUGCUCGAAUCUGGACACACAAGUACAUGUUAAAGAGUGGAGUGGUUAUGUCAAAGUUUGUAAAGAUCUCUAUGUGCCAAUGAAGACUUUGGAUUCCAUGCCAAAUAAUAAGAGAUCGAAUAGCCUUACAUACCUCGACAUAUCAACUUGUUUUUACGUCGAAAUGACUUCUUUUCUUCCAACUAUUUAUCUACAAUAUCAUGUUUUAAAGCUAGUAUUAGCAGCUAAUCAAUGCAUCUGGACAGCCCAAUCUCACAAGACACAACACUUUGGCAACAAACGUAUAACCAUCAACUCAAUGGUGUUAUUCCGACUUUCUCAAUUCUAACUGUAUUCAACCAGCAUAGAUUAUCAUAUACAUGAUGUAUACAGCCUAUAUUAGUUCUAUAACAUGCUGGCAACAGUCCAUAACUACAACACAUAACCAUUUUACAAAACGCUCAACUAAGAAGCACAACAUCUCGUCGUCUCCCUACAUUUCGUCGUUAACAAUUCAUACUUGUCCCAACUUUGAACCAGAUGCUCCCAACAUAUAUAUACAUCAAAUAAACCUUAACAUAGUCACAAAAUAGCUCAAAACGUAGGGGAAACGUGAAACAACAUCCCCCUCAACAAAACAGUCCAAUACCAGUUUGGAAGCACAUAAGAUCAUAUAAGGAUACUUGUUUCCAAAGAACUAGCAAAACAGUCCAGCAACCUUGGCAACCAUAUACACACUAUAACAUGUUAAUAACCUCAACUUUAUAUCAUAUUAAAGUCAAAAAUCAGGGUAAGAAUCGUUCCAAAGCCAAGAAAACCAAACAACAACUUUCAGGACACAAGCUGUCCAGAAAUUCCUGCACAGUGAACCAGCCAACUUAUCUUGUUUUCCAUGGAAAAUUCAUAUCAAGUAUAUGGUUAUUUUUACAUACCUUAACUCCCAAGGUGUAGGUCUAAUUCAAGAACUCAAAAAGUAGCCUUUGGUUGCCUUCCAAGGUGAAGAAAUACCAAGAGAAACUUAGAGAGAAAUUCUGAAAUUUUUUGGUCUUUUCUUUGGUUAACCUAGAGCUCGGUUUUGGUCCCUUUUUAAGGAGACUUUAGACCGACUUUCUCCUAAUAUUUGUAGCUGAUUAACUCAAGUUGGUCAAUGACUAAUUUUCCCCUUUCACUUGGGCCUUUUGGAUCUCUAAAUCAAUGGGCUUUAGUGGCCCAUUUCCUUAAUUUUUCUUGCACUUUGUUUGGGCCCAAUUUUGUUAGUAGUGAAUGAAUGUAGUUGGGCCUAUUAUAUAAAAAUUUUGGGCUGAACAUCUUGGCCCAAUAUAAUGUUAAACCAUUGGCUUAAAUAGCCUCCCUAACUUGGGCUUCGUUUGUCACAAGACUUGGAAAGUUUCGGCGUUAAGCCUUGUCUUCGUUCCCUUUUCUUUUUUACUAACGUCUAGACUUCAAGUGAGUUCACUUAUGAAUGAAUUCUUCUCCCUCAUGAUAUAUAAUUUUUAAGCUAAGCACACAGGUGACUCACCUGCUAGCUUCCUAAGUUCCAUAAGCAUGUUAAUGAUUUUCUCCGUUUAAGGCCACAGUCUCUAAAUAGAUUUCCAUAUAGUGCCCCAAUCCAACACUUGAACACUUGAAAAAUUUUUGGUAGUAAUUAAAUCAAGUCGUAUGUCAUUUUAUGUGAACAUUACUAGUACAUGUAAAAUGUGGGGUGUUACAACGGCAAAAAAAUAGGGACCACUUAAAAUAAUAUUACAUAUGUUAUAGAAUGUAAUUAAAAAAAAGUGUUGCUAUUUUUUGUAAUUAAAUACUUAAGUAUGUUAACAUAUGUAUUUUUUCCUUCAUAAAAUAAAAUGAUACAAGCUAGACGGAAAAGAUAGUAAGUUAAAGAGGAAACAUUUCAUGAUUUUCGGUAAUGUCAACACGAUUUAAUUUAGGUUGAACGAUAAAAGUUUUAUCGUAGUGUUGUUCUUAUAGUUAACGUUUAUUAUUUUUGCCAAAAAAAAGGUGUUAUUCAAUGGCCAUAUAUAUACACUAUUAAGUAUAUAAUCUGAAGUUUUAAUUUCACUCUUUUCUAAGAAAAAAAAAAAGUAAAAAUUAGGUAUAUUAAGAGUGCUAGAGUUAGGCAAUAAAACUAGGAAAAUGGACACAAAUGAGCACUUGUCCAAAAUAAUUACCAACCGAGUGGCCACUAAUUUUGCAUUUCCAUUAUAUAACCAUUUAGGCCUUUUAGCUCACUACUUCUUCCUUCUUCUUCUUCUUUUUUGUUUUUUCCUUAAUUUUUUGUUGCUGCUCAGUUUUUAUAAAACGAAUAAAUCUGCUCUUUUAAUUUUUUUAACAAUCAAAUGUGAUUCUGUAGGUUUUCUCCCCUAACUCUUCGCUUCUAUUUUUUAUAUAAUUUGUGUGUAAUAAAUUGUAUAAUCAAUAUAGAUAGACAGAUAGAUAGACAGAUAGACAGACAGAUAGAUAGAUAGACAGAUACGUACAUAGAUAGAUAGAUAGAUAGAUACAUACAUACAUACAUACAUACAUACAUACAUACAUACAUACAUACAUACAUACAUACAUACAUACAUACAUACAUAGACAGAUACAUAGAUAGAUAGAUACAUAGAUAGAUACAUAGAUACAUAGAUACAUACAUAGAUAGAUAGAUACAUACAUAUAUCUUACACACACACACACACACAUAUAUGCUUUUAACACAUCCUAUACAAUGCUACAACAAUUAUUCAUAUACACAUUAUAUACAAGGUUAUAUAUUUUCUAUACAUAUCAUACAUAAAAUUUAUUCUAUGAACAAUUAUACAGUUUGAUACAUAUUUUACACAUAAUUAUAUAAUUUUUUUACACAUUCUAUACAAUAAUUCUAUAAUUUUUAUACACAUUUUAUACAUACUUUUUCUGUAAUUAUUAUUUGGAUACGUAUUUUAUGCAACAACUAUAAGUUUAUAUACAUAUUUUAUACAUUUUUAUAUAUAUAUAUAUUUUACACAUAUUGAUAUAACUAUACAAUAUUUACACAUAUAUCGUUUAUAGGUACAUAUUCUAUACAAUAAUUAUAGCAUUUUUAUACAAUUAUAUUUAAUUGUUAUUUUAAAACAACAAAAAAGUUAGGCUCUGUUUAGUCAAAAAAAUUGUAGCAAAAAAAAACUAAAACAUUUUUAAAAAAGGAUUGAAUGGCUCAAAUUGGAAAAGGCUGAAAAUGACCAAUAUGACUGAAUGACCCAAAUUGGAAAAGACUGAAAAUGGCCAAUAUGACCCAAUGACAUUAAUUUGGCCGACGGGCCAUAAAAUGUUCGGAGGCCCAAACAUGGGCCAAUACUUUUUCUAAAAAUUACACAAAUACACAACUUAUGUUUUCAAUAUUACAAAAAAUUUCAACUCCCUAAACAUAUUACAAAAAUCCCACAUAUACAGAGAAUGCUAUGUAUAUGUCGGCUAUGUUAUGUAUAUUAAUAGUGUGAGAGAGUAAAGUAAUUAAAAAAGUGAGAGAGAGUGUAAUUACUUUUAAAAGGUUGGUAUUUAUGUUAUUUAUACAUACUUUUUUGAGUGACUAGUCCAUAUUUUUUUCUCAUAAAACUAUUGAUAUAUAGUAUAAACUACUCAAUUUAUAGAAUUUAAAUGAUAAACACUUGUUAUAAGUUUAUUAUUUAUUUAAAUGAUAGUGCCAAGUUCACUAGUGAAUUAAUCUUAAAGAAAUUAUUUUUAAAAAAAAAAUUAUGUGGGUAGUUUGGGCCACUGAAACACACCCAAUUCGAAUUAGAAAAUUACAUGUGAUGACCCUUAUAGUAGGUGACUUUAUUUUCUUGUCCCCAUAAGAAAAGUAUUUUAAAUAUCAGUCUUACUUCCUUUUUAUGUAUUAACAAGUACACCUCAAAUAUUUUUACACUUUUCAUACAAACUUGUCUCUCGACUUCUAUUUUUAAUUCUCUUUCCUUGAUUUUUUUUUUUUUAGUCCAUUUGUCUCAACCUUUAUUUUUAUUUUUUUAUUUUUCUUCUCUUUUUUAUCAAAAAAUAUUUAUUUUUAUUUCUAUUUUUAAUUUAUUUACCUCAAUCUUUAUUUUUUAAUUUUAGCUUUUCUCUUUUUUUUUCUUCUUUUUUUUCCUCAAAUUUUAUUUUUAUUUUUUCUUCUCUUUUUUAUUUUUCUCAAUCUUUAUUUGUUUUUUUUUUUGUUUUUAUUCUUCUGUUUUUUUCUUUUCUAUUAACCUUUAUUUUUUUUCUUCUCUUUUUUUAAAUUUUUUUUCUUAAUCUUUAUUUUUUUCUUCUCUUUUUUUCUCAACUUCUAUUAUAUUUUUCUAAUAAACAAAAGUUGGAUAAUUCGCAAAGAGGAUUUUCUAUCUUUAACAUCGAAGUAUAUUUACGGGUGUGACUUGUAGUUUGGAUGUCCUUUGUGAUAAGUCUUACAUCUAAGGCAAGAGUUAUAGAACAUCUCAUAAACCAAGAUAUAAUGUGGUAGUGUCAAUUUUUAACCAUGAGGUGUAACUUGUUGUUUGAAAUUCCGUGGGCUAAAACUUGCCUCUAAAGCAAGAGUUAUAUGCAUCUCGUAAAUCAAAAAACAAUGUGAUAGUGUCAACUCUUGCCCAUGGGUGUAAUUAUUUGAAAUUUUUUGGUCUAAGUCUUGCCUCUAAGAAAAGAGUUACAGAACAUCUCAUAAAUCAAAACACAAUAUGGUAGUGCCAACUCUUGCCUAUGUGAUGUAACUUGUUAUUUGAAAACUCUUAGUCUAUGUAUUUCCUCUAAGGAAAGAGUUAUAGAGCAUCUCAAACACAAUGUUCUAGUGCUAACUUUUGUCUAUGGGUGUAAAUUGUUGUUCAAAGGUCCUUGGACUAAGUAUUGUCUCUAAGGCAAGAGUUAUGGAGCAUCUCAUAAAGCCAAAAUAUAAUAUGGUAGUGUCAAAUCUUGUCCAUGGGGUGUAACUAGUUGUUUGAAAUCUCUUGAGCUAAGUCUUGUCUCUAAAGUAUGAGUUCUAGAGCAUCUCAUAAAUAAAGAUACAAUGUGGUAGUACCAACUCUUCCUCAUAGGCCGUAACUUGAUGUUUGUAGGUCCUUGGGCUAAGUCUUGCCUGUAAGAGAGAGUUAUAGACAUCUUACAAGCCAAGACAAAAUAUGGUAGUGUCAAUUCUUUCCAGUGAGGUACAACUUGUUCUUUGAAAGUCCUUGGGAUAAAUCUUGCCUCAAAGUCAAUAAUUAUAGAAUAUCUCAUAAAUUAACAUAAUGUGAUAGUGUCAAAUCUUACCUGUGGGGCAUAACUUAUUAUUUGAAAGUCUUUGGGGUAAGUCUUGCCUCUAAGACAAGAGUUAUAGAAUAUCUUAUAAAUCUGUCACACCUUAAAUCCUAUUGGGACGGACAAGCACCCAUAGCUGUGAAGGCUCAAGAGAACCAAUCCAUGACCUUGUACUCCUCACGUAUGUAACUCUAAUAACCAAAGGUUUUACCAUACAUGGAUAUAAUGCAUUGAUGAGAAAUAAACGACAUGUCCAAAACUAUAUAUACACCAGACUUGGCCAUUGAGGCCAUAAAUCUAAAAGAUAAGACACUAUCCUGCUUAACUUUACAUUGGUCUACAAAACCUCUAAUAGAUACAUAGACAUCUGGUUAAGGUUGGGACAAACCCCAGCCUUACUCUUGACUACUGUACUAUACCAAAAUAUAUAAAAUAGACUUGAAAAGCCCUGAAUUAAUCUGGAGCUCACCAAUAGUCGUUGGAUAUCCUGGGCUCCUACUGAGAAGGUGUAUAUGCUGAAGAACAUGUGCCUGCAGUAUGAAAAAUAGGUCCCCCAUAAGGGGCAUCAGUACGAAAGUAUGUACUGAAUAUGUAAGGCUAAAAGUAACCAUACAUCAUACAGGAGCUCAAUGGAAAUUAGGUAUAAGUGUACAAAUAGUUCUAGUAGACCACCUUUAUAUAUAUACUUGUAGGGUCAGGAACAUUACAUUCCUUUCUUUACUUUACCUUUCUUACUUCAUAAUCUUUGUAAGUCAUAUGAUACAAAUGACCAGUUGAUCAGUGGUAACUAGAUAAAUUGGGAUCGGCCCGUGCUAGGGUUACGCACCUGAGCUACCAACAACAUAUAAAGUAUCAGGAUCGAACCAUGCUAGGCUUAUGCCCCUAAGCUACUACCCGUUUAAUACAGAUUUAUGUUACUUAAUUUAUUUAGCCUUUGAGAUUGUUACUUUGGUGGUCAUAACAUUAUGGUACCUUGAAAUAAUAAUCUACCAAUAAGAUACACGUAAAUGGGCACUUAAUGCAACAACAAUGAGGUAGGGAGUUGUUGGCACACAAAUAAAGUGCUUAGGAGCUGAAAAUAACACAUGGGUCUUAUUUAAGUAAAUGGAGAACUCCUGAAAUUUCUAGUGAAAAUAGAUGCGCAGGCUUAAUAAUAAGCAUGUAUUGAGGUGCUUUAACACGUUAGAGAGUGGAAACAAGGUCAUUGGCUACAUAAGAUAUAAUACGCUGCUAUUAUGUAUCACUUGUUAUUAUGACCUUGAAAGCUUACUUGAUGGAACAAAUGCCUGAUUUCAUGCCAAAGAGUGCAAAAUAGAGUAUACCUUACAUAACUAGUCGUACAACUCCGAUACUAACCCAACUUGACUUUCUAUAUUUUGGAUUACUUAUCUAUAAUAAAAUACAUGGUAAACUAAUAUUAGCAACCAACUAACACAUUUGGGCUAUUUAACUUCACCAAAAUAGUGGCCGGACAGUAAGUACUUAAUUUAUCAGUCAAGGGUGUUAUUUUAACCCUUUUUUUCUCUAAUUACAUCCACACACCAUACAUAUUUGUAACACCCCGCAUUUUGGGCUAGAACAAAAACCAUCAUUUCUAUCUGUAGAUGAUCCAAAAGCCUUAAAGCAGCAAAUUUGUCAUGUUAAUCAAUUAUGUAGUGUGUGAAACUAUUUGAGCAUGAAUUGAGAUCAUAGAGGUUCCUUAACUAAAGGACUAGUUGAAAGUUUUCCUAUUGUUCAAGUUUUAGUAAGUGUCAAAACUUGGAUCAACUUCAAUCGACCAUAACUCCUUGUAUAUGACUAAUUGAGUGGGUUACUAUAUAUCAAAUGAAAGGUCUUUGAGUCCUCUUUCUAACACCACUAGUUUUGAUUUAAUCUGGUAUCGUAGUAGAAAGUUAUGCUUAUUUUACUUUGAAGUGUCUGUCUGCCAAAACGUGACGACGAGGCUGAUGACUUAUCAGCUGUAUGACGGCCCCGUCAGACCAGCCUAAAGUAGUGAAUGGUGAAAACCAGUCCAAAAGUGAUGACCUGGGUGACGACUUAUCACCUGAGUGACAGCCCGUCAAUCCUGGUCAACAACUGAUGCAAUUAUGCAAUUUUUUUGGGUUCCUUAGGGGUAUUUUGGUCUUUCCCUUACUCCAAAAAUCUUUCACAUGAAUUCAAUCACCCCUUAAGCAUUAUUAAUCAAUCACUAUCAGUUUUACAACAUCAAAAACUUCCUCUUUACUCUCAAAAUAAGAUCAAAUUAGGUUUUCUCCAAGAACAAAAAAUUCAAGAAAAUUAAGCUUUAAGUUCAAGAUCUCCAAGAAACAAAUCAAGAUCCGGGUUUCAUCUAUCAAGAUCUAGAUUCCAUCUUUCAGAUCUUAUAAUUUAAGGUAUGUGGGGUUUAUCCUAAAAACUACAUGGGCUUAAAACCACUAAAGCAUGAUUUUAAGAUUUUUAUGCAUGAAUUUUAAAGGGGUUUUGGAAUCUAUAUUCUAAAUUACGUACUCCGAAUGUUUUAAUGUUACUAUUGUUUUGACCUUGUGGUUCAAUCCCCUAGAUUGAUUUACAUUUAUACACAUAUAUAUAUAUAUAUGGAAUUUGAAAUUUAAGAUUGUUUGAGAGCAUAAAUCAUGAACUCCCUCUCUUGUAUUGGAUUAAAGCUUAUGGUUUUGUUGGAAAAGAGUUUAAAUACAUGUUUUAUGAUUUGAAAGAUGUUUUCUCAAUGUCCUUGUACUUGAAUAUGAUUUUAAAUUAUUGAGAGGGUGUUUCUUCAUAUAACUAUGUGAUGUUAAAGAGAAAUAACUGCAUGAGAUUGAGACUUUUAACAUGACCACCUUUGUUUACUAUCAAGAUCUAGAUUCCAUCUUUCAGAUCUUAUAAUUUAAGGUAUGUGGGGUUUAUCCUAAAAACUACAUGGGCUUAAAACCACUAAAGCAUGAUUUUAAGAUUUUUAUGCAUGAAUUUUAAAGGGGUUUUGGAAUCUAUAUUCUAAAUUACGUACUCCGAAUGUUUUAAUGUUACUAUUGUUUUGACCUUGUGGUUCAAUCCCCUAGAUUGAUUUACAUUUAUACACAUAUAUAUAUAUAUAUGGAAUUUGAAAUUUAAGAUUGUUUGAGAGCAUAAAUCAUGAACUCCCUCUCUUGUAUUGGAUUAAAGCUUAUGGUUUUGUUGGAAAAGAGUUUAAAUACAUGUUUUAUGAUUUGAAAGAUGUUUUCUCAAUGUCCUUGUACUUGAAUAUGAUUUUAAAUUNNNNNNNNNNNNNNNNNNNNNNNNNNNNNNNNNNNNNNNNNNNNNNNNNNNNNUGCAUGAGAUUGAGACUUUUAACAUGACCACCUUUGUUUACUGAAUCAUUGAUAAAGAGAACUAACUGCAUGGUUUUACAUGAGUUUCUUGAAAGAAUUGUUGAUAUGGUGGUCCUAAAUUUCAUGAUUUGAAAACAGAGAGACAAAUUGCUAUAAAUGGCUCAGAGAAUGUGACUUGCAAGUCAAUGGUAUGACGAUACCAUAUAUGUGUAUGUCAUGACAGAGUUAAAGAUUUUUGAGUACAUUUUCAGAGAAUGCAUGUUUAAAGAAUUAAAAAUGGGCAUAAAGAGAGUUAGGUGGUUACCCGAAGAAGGCAUGAGUUCAAGUAACUCUUAGCCUGAAACCGUAUUUGCCAAUACGGGUAGAUUAUUAUUGUACACUAGCGAUGGUCGUGUGGCGUAGUAGAGACAGAGACUCUGACCCUUGCGGUACACUUGGGUUGGGGGCUUGGCUGCCGAGUUAAUAGCAGAUUCCAUAUAUCCUGUGGAAUUACUUUAUUGUAAGGUAUACCACCUAGCGCAGAAGUAAUACAAAGAGUGUCACAGAGUUCAGAUGAUUUCACAAAGUCUUUUAAAAUUGCCCAUGUGAUUUCUUACUAUAUGAUAUGUUUAUGAACUAUUUUAAACUGUUGUCAUAUAUGUUGAAUAUAAAUAAUUAUUUUGGAUUUUCUCUGCAUACCAGUACAUCUGUAUUGACCCCCCCUCCCCUACCUUUCAGGCUUUGAGGCUCAAUCUAGGGGUCCUGAUAAGCAGUAGAUUUCUCCAUACAGAAGUGCAGAGUUCAGUUGGUGAGCCUUCUAUGUUUUAGAAGGCUUGUUUAUUUUUAGACAUUUAUUUAUGAUUUUGGUCUACUGGGGGCCUUGUCUCAGUUUUCAGACAUCUUUGCUUCAUAUGUAGUAGAGAUUUCACAGACGAAGUCAGAUAUUAUUUUAAAUGUUGUUGAACUGUAGUCUUUGAUAUUAUGUUAUUUUCAGAGCAUGACCAUGAUUCCUUAUUCAGCAUUAUUUCUGCAUUUUUUCUGUAUAUUAAUGGUGUAUGUGAUUACAAGUUAGAUGGGCGUCCAGGCCUUCAUGGUUAAGAUUGCUUGUCAUGGCCAGGGCCUUGAUUUGGGUCGUGACAAACUUGGUAUCAGAGCAUGGUUUAUGGUUUCAGGGUGUCUGCAAAAUUGUGUUGGGUAGAGUCUUAUUUAUGGGUGUUGAGCACGCCACACUUAUAAGCAGGAGGCUAUUAGGUGUUUAGGAAUGUCUCCCUUUCUUCAUGUUCUAAUUCGUGCUAUGGAGUCAGAAUGUUCUUUUUUCAUACUCUAAUUCGUGCUAUGGUGUUGGCCAUAUAAAAGUAAAGUUAUCCUAAUUCUUUCCUUACUUUGAUGUGCUCAGAUAUGUCUCAUUAUUGGGGUGAUUCAAGCGCAGAAAUUUAGAGUCUAAAUGGUAUGGUCCUUUUUGAUCGAGCCAUAUAAGAUUUUAAAAUUUUGUAAGGGCUUGAGAAGAGUCCAUUAGUGUUUUAGAGUGUAUUGAUUCUAGUGUGAACUUUGAUUUUGAUGAGAUCGUGCUUUUCAACCUGCAGUAUUAAGUAUAUUCAGUCUUUUUUAAAAUUUAUAUUGCAGAUGUCAUGCCUAAAUAGGGGAAUGAUGUGUAGCAGAAUGUUGGAACAAUAUUUCCACUUGAAUAAUAGUAUGAGUUAAAGUGUUGUUGUCAUGACCUAUUGGUAGUGAUAUUGGACCAAGAAGUUGGAGAUAUGAAGUCACAAAGUUAGAAGUCAGAGUGAGGGUGACUUUUGUGUAGAUAAAUAUUUUAGUUGAAUAACCGAUGUUUGAGGAUAAUUUACCCCUUUUAUAGUGAUAGACUAAUGCGGUAGCUAGUAGCAUGUGUGGAUUGUAUAGUAGUCUGUGGGGGAAGCGUUUGACUCAGAUUUUUAUUUAUAUAGAGUAAGAUGUGUAUUCUUAGAUCAUUGAUUAUUGUGUGUCAAGUUUUUAUCUCUUGUAAUCUUGUGAUCAUUGUGUUGUUGAAACUAAAAGUCUAGUGAAGCCGUGUGGGGCUCUUUCUAUUCACUAGCAUAGUUGCCUUGUCAUUCAUCUCAUUUUCUUGUUCAAAACAUAAAAUCAAAGUCUAGUGAAACUAUGCGAGGCCUAUUUCAAUUCACUAGCAACUUGUUGUUCAAUUUAUUGCUCUUAUGUUGGUUGAAUAUAAGUAUAGCCGAAUCUUUUUACAUGAGAUUGAGUUGGUAAUGUAGUGAUACAUCCUUGUGUGUUAGUUUUGUAGAAGGUAGAGAAGGAGUUAUUAAUCAAGGUGAUAUGAGGUUGCGGUAUUUUUUUCCUUCUAAGGCUAUUACAUGUUGUGUGUGGCUAGUGGUACCAUUAAGUUUCUAGGUGGAGAAAGACUAGUUAGAUGGUACAUGGUGUUCUAAAUGGCCAAGUUAAGGUGUUUUGACUACUAGUUCUGAGCCUUUUGAUAUGAUCUUGAUCCUCAUGGUAGAGAGAUAUAAGUUUGGGGUCGUGGUAUUAGUAGGUUAUGACGGAAGAAGUAUGGUUCAUUAAAAGCUUGGUGAUAUCCAUGUUAAGUGUUAGAAUCUAAGUUUGAGUUUUGAACGUUGAACUAAUAAAAAUAAGAGUAGAAGCACCAGAGGGUGUGCACUUCAAGUAUGGGGAUACUCAUGAAGAUUCAAAGUUACUAAGUGUUCAAGUAUUAUAUGAUGACUAUUGGUGGCUAUAGAAGAUAGAGUGUAUCUCAGAAAGUAGUAUUAACAGCGGGUUUUUCACUUUCAAGUGUAGUCAUUCAGGUUAAGUUCUAUAUAUGCGUGUAUGGUCAUUUUUCCAGACCCUAGAGUGCAGUAAGUGUAGUUCAGUUAGAGUCUAGUAAGAGAUCUCUCACACUUAAGAUGAUGACUUGAAGCUAAGAGGUAGAUGAUAGAACGAAUAACCAAGACAGACUCUCAGAUUCUAGUAAUGAUGUCAGUAUGAUAUAGAACAUCAGAAAGUGAGGGUGAGACUCAACCCAUUCUUAUCUCAGUAUUUUUCAGUUAUCCCAAUACCUACUCAUGCCUUACAUUUCAGUUCCAUGAUCAUGGUCCAUGUUCAUGCAUAUGAUAGAAUUCUAUUUUUCAGUUAUCCCAAUACCUACUCAUGCUCUUCCAGUUCCUAAAUGAGGAAUUCUAUUUCAUUUCAGUAGUCGGAAUCACACUCCAUAAGUUAUGAACUCCAAGUUGAGGUCAUGCAGCUUAUGACUCAUGUACUCACGCUUUAUAGUGUGCUCAGUUCUCAUAACUCAUGCUACACACCAAAUAAUUGGUGAGAUUCAGCUUAUAGACAGGUAUACUCUUAAUUAAGAUUACUUUGAUGAAUCCCUGAUGUUGAUUCGUUGUUCCUCAGGCCUCAGUUAAGUGUCAAUUCUAGUACAAUAUCCUUUCAUGUUUCAAGGUCUUAUGUUCUAACCUUUUAGUGACUCUUCCUUAUGUAAUGAUAUUGGUGAUGAGUAGAUAUUUUUUGUUGAUGAAUGAUCAUUGUAUGCUUGUCUUAGAUAAGACUAUAAGUGUGAGGUAAGAUUUGAGGCCAAGUCUUUGAUAUAUGUGAUGGUUAGUGCAAAUUUAUGUGUAUAUGCUCUUGGGAUAGCACGUGAGAGUUAUAUUGACAAUGGUUUAUAGACUAUGUGAAGUAUGUAUUUAUGGGUGUUUGCCUUGAAUUUCAUAGGUGGUUAUAAAGAUAGGCUUGAAUGACAUGUUAGGAUUUAAGUGGAGGAACGUAAUAUGUGCUAGUAAAUCAUAGUAAAAGUUCAGAGUAAGUCAUCAUUAAAGUGGUAAGGCACAUUAUAUUUAGGGUGUGAUCUCUAAAAAGAUAUAGAAAAUGGAAUCAUAUGGUUUAGACUAGUAUCGUUAUAUGGCAUGCUGUAUUUUAUGGUUUGGAGUUAGGCUUGAUCGCGGUGAGAGGAUUUAAGCCACUUUAGACAUUAGUAGAAAGAUUUAUCAAUGCCCAUAUGAGAAUUUUAAGUUGAAUCAAAUGAGCAUGGGAUUUAAGGGGAAUAGUAUAGUUAAGGGAGUAUUCGGGAAGUAUGCUAAGCUGGAAAGUAAGAAGUUGCAUUACCUAAGGCCUGGUAAUUGUCCCUAGUUUAUGAGUUAUAUGUCUAUAUUCUAUGCUAUAGAGUAGUGUCAAUAUUAUGAUUCCUUAGUCAGAUAUCUGAUGUAGAUUAUGCCGAAGAUUCUUUUGCUCCCUAAUGUUACUAGAACUUCCUUAGAAAGAGUGUUGAAGAGAUACUCCAGUUAAGCAUAAGUUUCCAAGUAUAAUUCAGUCUGUAUAGCCAGCAAUUCAGUUUAAAAGUCAGGCAAACAAGUUACUAUGGUUUUCCACCUUUUCACCCAGUCCUACUAUUCGAAGUCUCAUGCGUAUGACCAUCCCCAAGAGAUAAUCUAUACCAUCUAUGUAAAUUGCGAAUCCAGUUUAGUCUAAGCAUCAUGUUUUAGAUUCAUCUAUUUAGUCAUGACUCAGUUCAUAAGAGUUCAGCGCAUAAUCUCAAAUUUUUCCAAGUAUUUUAGCUCAGACAGUGUAAUACACUGGUACAGUCUAAGUCUUGUUGCCUCAUGAUUCGUACUUGCCUAAGUUAUCACAUUUCAAUUCAAUAUAUAUGAUUGGAUCAUGAACACUUCAAGGGAAUCCUAAAUUCUCGGCAUGAAUCAGCUCCUCGAAGCAAGUAAAGUCAAAUCAACACAGAAUUCAGUUUCAUGAUAGAAGUUUAAAUGUUUCAGAUCAGUUAUAUCCUUUCUUAGAAGACACAUCAUGUCUGCGUUAUUUCAUACCUUUACGCUUCAACAUUCCUACCCAUCAUUCGGGGACGAAUGAUCCCAAAGGGGAGAUAAUAUAACACCCCGCAUUUAGGGCUAGAACGAAACUGUUAUUUCUAUGCGUAGAUGAUCCAAAAGAGUUAAAUCCUAUGCAAAUUUGUCAUGUUAAUCAAUUAUGUAGUGUGGGAACCUAUUUGAGCAUGAAUUGAGAUCAUAGAGAUCCCUUAACUCACGGACUAGUUAAAAGCUUUCCUAUCGUUCAAGUUUUAGUGAGCGCCAAAACUUGGAUCAACUUCAAUCAACCAUAACUCCUUGUAUAUGACUAACUGGGUGUCCUACUAUAUGUCAAAUGAAAGGUCUUUGAGUCCUCUUUCUAACGCCAUUGGUUUCUCUUUUAUCCGAUAUCAGAGUAGAAAGUUAUGCUCAUUUAGGUUUGAAGUAUAUAUCUUCCAAAAUGUGACGACGAGGCUGACGACUUAUCAGCUGUGUGACGACCUGUCAGACCUGGUCGUCAACCUAAAGUAGUGAAUGGUGUAAACCAGCCCAAAACUGAUGACCUGGGUGAUGACUUACCACCUGAGUGACGGCCCGUCAACCCUGGUCGUCAAUUGAUGCAAUUAAGCAAUUUUUUUGGGUUCCUUAGGGGUAUUUUGCUCUUUUCCUCACUCCAAAAAUAUUUCACACAAAUUAAAUCACCCCUUAAGCGUUAUUAAUCAAUCACUAUCAGUUUUACAACAUCAAAAACUUCCUCUUCACUCUCAAAAUAAGAUCAAAUUAAGGUUUUCUCCAAGAACAAAAAAUUCAAGAAAAUCAACCUUAUGUUCGAGAUUUCCAAGAAACAAAUCAAGAUCUGGGUUUCAUCUUUCAAGAUUUAGGUUCCAUCUUUCAAGAUUUAGGUUCCAUCUUUCAUAUCUUAUAAUUUAAGAUAUGGGGUUUAUCUUAAAAACUACACGGGCUUAAAACCAUUAGAGCAUGAUUUUAAGAUUUUUAUGCAUGAAUUUCAAAGGGGUUUUGGAAUCUAUGUUCUAAAUUACGUACUCCGAAUGUUUUAAUAUUACUAUUGUCUUGGCCUUGUGGUCCUAUCCCCUAAAUUGAUUUACAUGUAUACGUAUAUGUAUGAGAAUUGAGAUUUAAGAUUGUUUGAGAGCAUAAAUUAUGAACUCCUUCUCUUGUAUUGGAUUAAAGCUUAUGAUUUUGUUGGAAAAGAGUUGAAAUACAUGUUUUAUGAUUUGAAAGAUGUUUUCUCAAUGUCCUUGUACUUGAAUAUGAUUUCAAAUUGUUGAGAGGGUGUUUCUUCAUAUAUCUAUGUGAUGUUAAAGAGAAAGAGACUUUUAAUAUGACCACCUUUGUUUACUAAAUCAUUGAUAAAGAGAAUUAACUGCAUGGUUUUACAUAAGUUUCCUUGUAUUGGAUUAAAGCUUAUGAUUUUGUUGGAAAAGAGUUGAAAUACAUGUUUUAUGAUUUGAAAGAUGUUUUCUCAAUGUCCUUGUACUUGAAUAUGAUUUCGAAUUGUUGAGAGGGUGUUUCUUCAUAUAUCUAUGUGAUGUUAAAGAGAAAGAGACUUUUAAUAUGACCACCUUUGUUUACUAAAUCAUUGAUAAAGAGAAUUAACUGCAUGGUUUUACAUAAGUUUCUUGAAAGAAUUAUUGAUAUAGUGGUCCUGAAUUUCAUGAUUUGAAAAGAGAGAUAUAAAUUACUAUAAAUGGCUCAAAGAAUGUUACUUGCAAGUCAAUGGUAUGACGAUACCAUAUAUGUGUAUAUCAUGACAGAGUUAAAGAUUUUCGAGUAUGUUUUCAGAGAAUGCAUGUUUAAAGAAUUAAAAUGGGCAUAAAGAGAUUCAGGUGGUUACCCGAAGAAGGCAUUAGUUAAAGUAACUCUUAGCAUGAAAUAGUAUUUGCCGAUACGAGUAGAUUAUUAUUGUACGCUGGCGACGGCCGUGUGGCGUAGUAGAGACAGAGACUCCGGCCCUUGCAGUACACUUGGGUUGGGGGCUUGGUUUCCGAGUUAAUGGCAGAUUCUAUAUAGACCAUGGAAUUAAUUUAUUGUAGGGUAUACCACCUAGCGUAGAAGUAAUACAAAGAGUGUCACAGAGUUCAGAUUAUUUCAUAGAGUCUUUUAAAAUUGUCCAUGUGAUUUCUUACUAUAUGAUAUGUUUAUGAAUUAUUUUAAACUGCUCUCAUAUAUGUUGAAUAUAAAUGAUUAUUUUGGAUUUACUCUGCGUACCAGUACAUCUAUAUUAACCCCCCUCCCGUACCUCUCAGGUUCUGAGGCUCAAUCUAAGGGUCCUGAUAAGCAUUAGAUUUCUUCAGACAAAAGUGCAGAGUUCAGUUGGUGAGCCUUUUAUGUUUCAGAAGGCUUGUUUAUUUUUAGACAUUUAUUUAUGGUUUUGGUCUACUGGGGGCUUUGUCUCAGUUUUCAGACAUCUUUGCUUCAUAUAUAGUAGAGGUUUCGCA
Molecule: long non-coding RNA, 46007 nt
Filed under: Capsicum annuum
Lineage: Eukaryota; Viridiplantae; Streptophyta; Magnoliopsida; Solanales; Solanaceae
Description: long non-coding RNA (CANN_LNC002756)
Source: RNAcentral